RNAcentral lists this long non-coding RNA (85175 nucleotides) under Triticum aestivum (bread wheat). RNAcentral describes it as "long non-coding RNA (TAES_LNC002584)". The stretch from base 36302 to 36388 matches the Rfam family "MIR1120/MIR1122 microRNA precursor family". The record is from RNAcentral. Lineage: Eukaryota; Viridiplantae; Streptophyta; Magnoliopsida; Poales; Poaceae.
UCAUUGUAUUAUCUUCCAGUAACCUUAUUCCUUGGCAACUAAUCUUAUUCCCUCUCUGCCCAGGGACCUGACUUCAUGGUGAGGACGGCGAAGAAAUCUAUGCUGGAGGAACUGGAGAGCAUGCUGGAGAUCGUGGACCCGCAGCCUCCAGGGAAGCAGAGGUCGUUCAGCCGCCGCAAGUUUGAUCUUCCUGAGGGCGGAGCGAUCCCGAACGAGAAAACUGCAGGCGUGAACAAUGCUGUCAGGGUCAUCAACACUGGCAAGAGCAAGCAGUAGGCACUAGCGCCUAGUUUAGUGGCUGGUACCAUGGUCGAUCGAUGGAGCUUGUAGCGCCGCCGCGUUGUCUGUGAGAUAGUCCGGUUCAUCUUAGAUUUCCAGUGUCUUUGAGAUUUGAGAAGGAUUGAACUUGUCGUGCACCAUUGUUCGGGAUGUCGUAGCGUGUAUGAUCCGUAUCGUUUUGUUUGGACUUGUUGUACUGUAUGGUGUUGUUGAACUACCAGUAGAAGAGUUUGGUGCUUUAAGUAUCAGCUUCUCUUCUGGCUGCCGCCCUCAUGUUUUGAGCUCCAUGGAAGUUCAGUCCUGGUUAUUUUUAGGGGUGGCAACACAUUAUUCCUAACUUGUAGGGAUAUGCACAGUUUUUCAUUUUUGCACAGUUUUUCUUGGGUUUUCUUGUUUGCCUUUUCUUUUCGGCUUUUAGUUUCUUUCUUUAGUUUUCUUUGUUAGUUUCAACGGUUUCUUUGUUUUUCUUUGUAUCCUUCUUGGUUUUCACUCUUUUGCAUUGGUUUUCUUUGUUUUUUUACUUCUUACAGGGUUUCUUUGUUUUUCUUUGUUUCUAUGUCGAUUUCAUCGGUUUUCUUUUUGUAAUACACAUGUCAACUUUUUUCAGUACACAUUAUAUAUUUUCCAUAUUCGUCAGAAACAUAUUUUAUAUACAUGUUUAACAUUUUUUGAAAAACAAUUUAUUAUUUCUAAUUUUGUCUAUGCACAUUGUAUAUUUUUGGUAUAUAUGUAAUACAAUUUUAUAUACACAUUUUACAUUUAAAAAUACAGGAUUAUCAUUUUUUCAAUACAUGGUUAAAAAAUUCAAAAGACAGAAAAUAUUUUUUCAAUGGCAAAAAAUAUUUUUUCGCAUACAAUGUACAUUUUUGUACUCACCAGGAGCAUUUUUAUACACAGUUAAUUUUUUUAAAUACAUUAUAAACAAUUUUUCAUGCACAUUGUUUUUUUAUAUAUUUGUCGUGUACAUGACAAACAUUAUUUCAAUAAACAUUUAACAUUUUUCAAAUGUUUGAUGAUUUUUUUAAGUGAUUAAUUAACAUUUUUUUAAAUACAUGAUUAACCUUUUCCAUACACAUUGUAGUUUUUUGCAUACAUUUUCCUUAUACAUGAGAAAAUUUUCUCCAUUCACAUUAAAUUUUCCAAAUGCUUUGUUAAGAUUUUUUCAAAUGUUUUAUGUAAUGUUUAUUGUAUUAUAAAUAUUUACAAUAUUUGGAAUUAUAAAAAAACUACAAUAGAAAGCAAUAAAUAAAUAAAUAAUGUUUUAUGUAAUGUUUUAUUUAGUGGAUGAGCUCAGUUCUUACAUGGGUCUCACAUCUCCUUCUCUGUUAAAAAUAAGUAGGGGCUUCUUCCCCCUACCGGUCUAGUUAUUUUAAUAAAUAAAUAAGCAGGAGCAAAAUAGAGAAAAAAAAAACGAGGCAGUGGCCUGUGGCCACCCUCACUGGGCCGGGCCAUUUAAGGAGCCGCUUGCCGUGAGCGCAACUUAGGUGUCGCUAUAAGCCAAACAUUUUUUUAGUCUAAACAUACUUUGCUCUUUUAAGUAAUCAAGUGAUACAAUGUAAGUCCGGAGGAUUUAUGAGCCAAACAUGGCGCCCGACAUCCAAACCAAAAGCAAGUUUAGCGAGACUAUGUGCCUCGAAGUUUGACUCUCUCCCUUCGAAGAUGAAGGUUCAUUAUUGAAAAUUCUUCGAUCUUUCCAAAAUCUCCUUGAUGAUGUUUGUAUAAACGCCUCCAGUGUUGUUCUUGAUGUCAUGAACUACACCUUGGCAGUCUGAUGCCACUAGCACAUGUGAUAGCGCAAGAUCUGUAGACAUGGCGCACCCCAUAGGAGUGGCUUCGCUGAAGCCUACGCGAAUGGGCUAGCCAACUUUGGGCACAAACUGUUUGUUUAUAUUUUCCUCUUCGUUUUUGUCUUCGGUUUUUCACUGAAAAAAUAGCUAUUAUUUUAUAGAAAUAUUUUUGUAACCUAUUAAAAAUACAAAAUUAUAUUUUAAAAAUUAUUUGGUAUAUGUUUUAUGAAAGUUCUGCGUAUAUUAAAAAAUCACCAUUUAUUCAGAAAAUAUUUGCUGUGUAUUAAAAAAUGCUCAUUAUAUAUUAAAAAAUUAAUUGAUAUAAAGUAAAUAUUCAUCAUGUAUAAAAAAAGUUCAGUGUGUGUUUUGAAAAAUGUUCACUUAAUACUAAAAAAAGUUAUUGUCUAUUUGAAAAACUCACCGUAUGCUGAACACAAGUGCAUUUGAAAUUUUUUCACCGUAUAGUACAAACCUAUAAAAUUAGAAAAAAUUGAAAACCCGAAAUAACAGUGAACCCAAGAUCUCCAAAAGAAAAAAAACGGAAAGAGAAGAGAAAAAAAACAAAGUAAAAAAUGAAACAGAAACAGCUAGGUAAGUGGGCCGGUCCAUCUAGAGGUUUUCUUCAGUGAAGGCUCCCCUGUAUGAUGCACACGGGUGGUGAGCGCCGCUUUGCAUCCCUACUAGCUUAUUUUCUUAGAAUUAUUGGAUUAUCGCAUAACAAGGAGAGAGAGGAAUGCAUGAAUAAUGUUGUACGUCUAGUAUUUAUGGUUACUUUAGAUUUGUGGUUAGUUUUGAAUAACACAUAAUAACUUACAUCUCUUUGCCCCAAUAUAUUUCCAAAUUCACUAUCAUUUUAUUGUAAAAAUGGGUAGGCGCGACAACCCGCGCCAUCAUCGUCUAAUAAAUAAUCUAAACCAAAACAAUUGAUUCAGCCAUUGAAUAAAUCUACCGAACAUUGGUCAACCACCCCAUUACUCUUAUCAGAGGAGGAUCUAACUAACUUAAAGUCUCCUCCGAUCAAAGUAUGGCUAAACCAGUAGUUCAUCACAUUAUGUAGUCCCUUGACAAAAUCUAGUUCAUGUUCCUCAUAUGUGGGAGACAUGAAUAUAAAUGAACCUCUUGUCAGCUUUGCCAUCUCUUAGAUUUAUUGGAUUAUUUUAUCUUAACAAGCAGACUGCAUAUCAAGAACAUAAAACAGAAAUCAAACUUUAUUCAACUGCGCAAUUAAGCGGAAUUAUGAAAUUGAAAAAAUUGAGGAAAGCUAGCAGCAUCUCUUUGGGAUGGUGAGGUGGCCGGCCAUGUGCCAGCCCUCUCCUCCGUCAGGGUACAUGUAAGGGCACGCCGGCCUGAAUGGGGUGCUGCCCUUGGCGGCGAGCAUGUUCCACUGCUCAUUGGGGUCGUCGGUGGCGAACUUGGUCCACGUCGGAGUGGAGUACUCGUAGCGACUGUGCGUGAUGCGGUGGAACUCCUGGAUGUCCUUGUUCUUGGUGAUGUCAUCAGUGUCGCGGAGGUCGACCGAAAGGAUGUCGCCGUAGGGCCUAACGGAGUGCAGGAAGACGGGCAUCGAGAUCGGCUCGUUGGAGACGGCGGCGAGGUCGGAGGCGAAGACAAUGCUCCUCAUGUCGGGGCUGAAAAUAGGGUGGUUAACGUGUCCCGCGAGGGUAGCCGAGCUCUGCACCACGCGCACCACCACCGUGGGGUCGCUGACCUUCACCAGGUACACGGCGAAGUAGCCCGCGUCGAGGAAGGCCAUCUCCGGCGCGCUGGCCGGCAUCUCGCGCGUGGAGGAGAAGACGACCCAGUCCCCCUUGGGCGACCAGCUGCAGUGGGUGUCGGUCCACGGCCCGUCGGUGAGCCGUGUCACCGUGCCCUGGCCGAACUCCCCCUCCUCCGCGUCCUCCAUGAUGUAGAGGUUCUUGUGGAACUUCUCUUUGCCGCCGUCCCUCGUGGACCGAAACACAAACUUGUCCCCCUGCGCGUUGCUCGACGGGAAGGCGUUGUUGAAGUUCCCGGCGGUGAGGCGCUGCACCUUCCGGCCGGCGGACGGCCCGGACACGUUGGAGAUGGCGUAGAUCUCCAAUGGCUUGGCGGCGGAGAAGGACGGGCCCACGCAGACGUACAACGUGUCCUUGUCCGGGUUCUGGUUCCACGCCGUUGAGAAGACGCUGUUGGAGCCCCGCUUCUGCAAGUUUUUGUUGGGUGAGAAUUGGUAUUGAUUCUUUCUACUUCUUGAGGGACAAUGGUGGAUAGAUAGAUACGAUACCUCAUAGACGACGCGCAGGCCUUGGGUGUCGGCAAGCCACACGGCCUUGAACUCGUUGUCGACGAAGGCGAGCUUGGCGCCAUCCUUGGAAAUGGUUGGGAACACACCCGACACCCGGAACAGCCCCACAUCUGUGUGAGGGGAGUGCAUCUUGUCGAAGCUCUUGUUAGGGGCAGAAAGAUUAUUCUGCAUCCAUGUCAUGCCAUGUUCAUCGGUAAGUAAUCAUGAUGAUCGAUUGUUUAAAUAUAAUACUCCCUCUGUUCACUUACAUAAGACGUUUUAGCAAAUUCAGACAGUGUACUAAACAGUUCAAACCCAGCUGUCUGAAACGCCUUAUAAAAGCGAAUGGAGGGAGUAGUAUUAUUAUCCAACACUUGUCAUAAUUUUAUCUUGUAUGUGCAUAUAUACAUAUAAUUAUGAUUAAUCAAAUAAGAUAAAAGGUAGCGAAAUAUGUCUAAUUCUAUAGGCAUAAAUAGUUGAUGCUCACUACUUCUAUUUCUUUCAGCAUAUACACACACAUGCCACCUCACAUCCCACUAAUUAUAUUUCUCUCACCAUAUAUGAGAAAUGCUAUUUAUUUUGUUUCUCAAUAUGCAUAUAUCGCAACUCACCACACAUGUCAUCUUAUCAAUCUCACUACAUAUUUUUUUGCGGGGUAAUCCCUGCUUAUAUUUCUCUCUACAUGCAUGAGAAAUACUCCUACUAACAACCAUAUGAUGAUUAAAUAUAAUAAAUCAUGUGUAUUUCCAUUUUCUAUUUUCGUAUCCAAAUCUCAUCAAUAUAUGUUGCAACAAAUUUUCAUAGCAACACGCGGGGCAUCAUUUAUUUAUCUGUCUCAGCUACAUUUCUAAGUGUUCGGAUCAACAUCCAACCAUCCAGAUAUAAAAUCACUAUAUUAAAAUUAACAUGAAAACCAAAAGUUGCACAAAAUGUUUAACUGAAGUUGCACGCUUGAGAGUGUGUAAUUUUAGUUGGUUGAAAUUUAUAAGUAAAUUGAGAAUUAGCAAAAGGGAAGACAUGCGUACCCCAAUGACGAGAUCGUCGGUUCUGACCCGAUGGUAGCCGAUGCGGCUGCCGCCGUCGGCCACGAAAGGGUUGUAGUGGUCGCCUUUCGGCCUGAUCUUCUGGCUGAUCUGCACGGCGGGGCGGUCCGGCGACGCGACGUCGAAGAUCUCGAUGUGGCGGUACUGCGCCUCCUCUCGCGGCGUGGUCAUGGCGGCCUGCCUAGACUUCUGGCGGAUGGCGGCCACGGCGACCCUGGUCUCGCUGAUGGCCGCGGGGGUCAUGGCGUCGAUGGCCUCGGGCGUCACCCGGACGGUCUCCUUGGUGGCCAUGUCGUAGCGGAACACGGCCCAGUUCGUCGGGGACUCGCCGGUCCCUCGGUGGAAGAAGAUGACGUUGUCGCUGCCCCACGUCGGCCACCCGCCGUCCCGGAUGAGGAUCCUGCGGCGCAGGCCGCCCUGCGCCGUCCUGUCCACGUUCAUGACGGCGAUGUCGGUGUUGAGGCGCUCGAUCUCGCCCGUCCACUUGUUCCCGCGGAAGUUGGCCACGGCCACCAUCUUGCCGGAGGGCGACACGGCCGGGCUGACGUCGUACUGGCCUGGCGGGGUGAGGCGCUCGGUCUUGCCGUCGGCGAGGUUGGUCCGGUACACCACGGUCCAGGGCGUGCGGCGCCUCGUCACCGGCUCCUUGGUGGAGACGUAGACGAGGGAGUGGCCGACGGCGCGAGCGCCCACCUUGAAGCCGCCGGCGACGCAGCCGCUGUCCUCCAUCCGCGAGCCGCCGAAGGUGCCGGCGCCAUAGACGUCGCCCAGGCUCAGCACCUUCACCGCACCACCUUCGCCUUUGGGGCGCACAAGGGCCACGUGCAGCGUCUCGAGCCCCUUGUCCCUCUCGGAGACGAAGACGAGGCCGGCGACGCGGCCCUGCUCGGCGUCGUCCGGCGUGGCGCCGCACUCGGCGGCGAGCGCGGGGUUCUUCUUGCCAAGGAACGUGAGGAGCUCCUUGAGCGCGGCCGCCGGGAUGGCCCGGCCGUUCUGGUUGUAGGACACGCCGUCGGUGAGGUGGUGCUCGUCCUCCCGCGAGGACGGCGGCGGGUCGGCCGGGCAGGAGUAGAUGUCCAGUGGCACUGGCGGGCGGUAGGUGCCGAAGAAGGCGAUGCUGCCACGGCCGCUGUCGUCGCUCCCCAUGGCCGGCCGGCGCGGAGUCGAUCGAGCAAGAAUGAAACGAGUUUCUGUUGGUUUGCUCACGCCGGAAGCUGCUUGAUUUAUAAUGACACGCAAGCAGGACUUCAAUACCUUAAAUUAAAAAAAGAACUUAUAGCUGCUGAUAAUAUUUUUUUUUGCACAUAAGCUGAUAAUAAUUUCUAUCCGGUUAUUUUAUAGUACGUACUAAUCAAUGACUAAUGUGUGGUGUGGAUUUUUGGAACCUGGGUGUAGGCGCACCUGAUUAACCAAAAAGAAAUGAAAAAAAAAGUAAAAGAAAUCAAAAGAAAAUGUGAAACUUGUUCGGAACAAGCAUUGUCUAGUGUAUUACUCAAGUGAAAAGUUUCGGGAUAAAAUGAUUUCUAUGGUAGUGUUGGCAAAAAAGUGCCGCACCGCACAUUAGUCAUUGUCUAGUGUAUUACUCAUGUGUAAAAUUUUGGGACAAAAUGGCUUCUGCAUUUUGUUGGCAAAAAAAUUUAAAAAUUGCAAGUAUAAACUGUGUGUAUACCAAGUUUAAUAUACUGCCAGUUUUGUUUUUAUUCGUUCAGAAUGCCACGGAAGUCAUUUUGUCGCGAAACUUUACAUGUGAGUAAACCACUAGACAAUGCUUGUUCGGAACAAUUUUCAAUUUUUUUAAUCAUUUUUUUGAUUUUUAUUUCAAUUUGGGUGCAUCUAGUCCGAGGUUCCGUUGUGUAUUUUCAAUGACUAAUGCCUCAUUAUUAAUCCACUGAUGAGUAAACUAAUAAGUCCCUUGAGUGGUACAUAUAGAGUAAAUGAUUGGUGUUGAUUGUAGUUUGCAUUUAGUCAUAAUUGAAGCCACAAAGUUUCAGUUUUUUUGAUUUUAUUUGCAACUUCUUUUUACUGUUCAUUGUGAAUACAAUGCAGCCAGUUUUCGAAAAACCACACUAUCGCAAACAGUAAUAUCUCUUGUGCUAUCUUAAAACUGUUAUGAUAAGUAGAUGUGAGUAAACCAUCUUAAGAGUUCUGUCUAGAAAGUCUUUAGUUUAGUGGCUGUUUGGGAGAGCUGUGUUCCCGGUCCCAGGGCUGAUGCUUGAUGUGGUUUUGCCUUUUUGCUCUUCUCCUUUUGUGGGUUGCUUGUAAAAAUUGGCGGUUCUAUAAUGAAAACCAUCCAGCGACCUUAGAUUUUGAAAGCCUCACAGUUCUUUUUCUCUCUCACUUCAUUCUCUAGGUUAUGAAAGGUUUUUUGGUGAUAUCGAGGAAUAAAAAAUGCAUGAAUUUCGCAGGAAGAAAAAUGCCUAAAAUUGCCAUUGCAAAACAAUAAAUAGAAGAAAGGCAAAAACCACAUAAAUUUGCAAGGCCAAAAUGUAAACAUUUCCAUGGACCCCCCCCCCCCACUACUAGGGAAAAGCCUAGCAGCAGCGCGGGUUUUAGGCCUAUCAGUAGCGCGGGAAGGAGCGCUACUGAUAAGGCGCUACAGCUAAACCUUAGCAAUAGCGCGCCUAGAUCCACGCUACUACUAAAUUGACUUAGUAGUAGCGGUUCUUCGGAACCGUGCUACUGGUAAUUAGUAGUAGCGCUUCUCCUUUCCCGCGCUACUACUAUUAUUUAGUAUUUUAUUUCUUUUUUAUUUCAUGUUGUAUUCAUACACCUUUACACAAGUUUUCAUACAACAGGAAUUUAGAGAUUGUUUUUACAUCAUAAUGAGUUAUUACAUUGCGGGGUGAAAGAACCGUCGACUAGUUUCAAGUGGAUGUCCAUCCACUAGAAACUAAUCCAUGGUUCUUUCACCCAAUGAUAUAAUAAUAUCAUCAUCAUCAUCAUCAUAUCAUUAACAACUUAUCAUCAUAAUACAUCAUUGUCAUAUAACACCUCCUCAAGAUCAUCGUUUUCAUCAAUGACAUCACAUAGCAAAUUGGUCACUAGUCGUAAUCACAAGUACUCCUCAUUAUCAACUCUAACACAUUACCACAUAAUAAACAUAUUAUACCUCAUAGGACCUACUACAUUCGAUUAAGACCUACUACAUUUUCUAAGGUAAAAUAGCAAAAAACAAGAUAGCCCCUGACUCUCCAUUAUGGAGAAUGGAGAUUAGCCUGUCUCCAAUUCUUGCCUUUCGCUGAAUGUUACUUCCAAGAACCUCCUUGCGAAUGUCCAUACAUUUCUUCCAUUCUUUGAUGAUCAUGUGUUCACCGGUUUUAGAAAUCCGAUAUGCACAGGUGAGCUCCCUAGAUUUACCUGGCAGUAUGUUCAGAACCGAGAGGCGACCAUUCAGAGACAUCAGAUGAGGCACACAAUCCAUCGGGAGUUUCUGUUGAAAAACAUAAUAAUAAAUUCGUAGUUAGCAAUGAUGUACUAGUUUUAGAAGUAUGCAAAAGAUGCACGGAUGUCGUAAUAGUAAAAAAUCUUACCAGGGUAUCUCCAGAGAAGUUACCGUGGUUCAACACAUGCACUAGUGGCACGUAUUCACCAUAAUUUGGAGGAGUUCGAUAAUAGUUAUUGUAAUUCUCAAGAAGAGUACAAAAUGUGAUCAGAUGAUUUUUCUCCUUAUACGUUAAUUCGGUGCCAUCGGUGUAGUCGGUUUUAUCUACCAUCUUCCGCACAGUCUUUGAAGAAUCAAAAUAAGCUGUCAAUGGAAAUAAGCUAUCAACUAUUUUGAAAUAAACAAUAUAAAUUAGUUAAUAACUAUGUUUGAGAAACUCACAUAGCGGUACAACCGGAAGCGUAUCUACAAGGACCCAAAUGUCCAUAUUGUCUUGCUCGAUGUCAGGAUCACCAAGAUCCAUGGUGACAAUCAUAACCUCAUAAAAACCAUACAUUUUGCAAAGUGCUUCCCAAUUUUGGCAACCAAAAUGGGUUACGCUCUGAGCAUUGCACAGAUUUACUUUAAAUCCAUAUCAUGAUGGAUCCUUAGGUGUAUAUUCUUUGUUUCAAAAUUUUCAUGGUCUUCAAAACCCAUCCUCUCCAAGACAAAGCGUCUUGCAUGGCAUGGAAUAAGCUAGUCGAAUUGUAAAAUAUGAAAAUUAGACGUUGAAAUAGUUGAAGUCAUGCUUAAUUACGAAAAAACACUUGUCAUUGUUGCGUACCGUUUUAACAUCGAAGGUCUCCUCGAGCUUAAUGCUGAAGCGCCGAUCUUCGUCCAGCUCAACGAACCUGUCGCACAUACCUCGAUCGUCGUGGCACCAGCUGCACUCCCCCGGGAGACUGUCGUCGUCCGAGUACGACAUUUCCUACGUUCAUAAUUCAAAGAUUAAACUUGUACAUAUUCUAGCACAAGUCAUGCCAGAAUUCACGAAAAAAAUCCGGCAUGACCUUUGCUAAAAAAGGACAUAUCGAGCGCCUAAAAUUUGCCGGAACGAAAAUUAAUCAACACUCCGGCAAAACAUAGGCCACUCGGAGAUGUAAAAUGAACAUGAACGGCCACUUGGGCAACCACAUAUCCUAUUUGAGCAACAACACAAGAUAUACAAGGAUAUUUGGCUGGUCUCACCUCGAUGUCGGAGGGGGUCGGUGACUGGGAUGACGGCGGGGAUGUCGGAGGGGGUCGGUGACGGGGACGACGAUGGUCACCUGAAACCGUAUAAGUUAUCACUAAUACAUCCCGAAUAAUUGCUUAAACUAAAAAAAUAACAACAAAUAUGACAUGUUCAACUAGUUUUAUUAAUUCAACUAGCUCUUACUAAAUAUAAACUUACUAUAAAUAGAAAAAAAACUAGUUCUUUCUAAAAAUAAAGUAGUUCAACUAGUUAUAUUAAUUAUCUUACUAAAAAUACGUUAGUUCUAUUAAUUCAACUAGUUUAUUAAUUUACUUGGUAAACUAGUUCAACUACAACUAAAGUAGUUCAACUACAACUACUAUUAAUCAUACUGCCCUAGUUAACUAGUACCAUCACUACUAGUAAUUAACAUCUACUACUAAAAAUCUAGUACUAAUGUCAACCCUAAAUUAACACCUACUACUACUAAAAAUCUAGUACUAACUAAGAAACAUCUAGUACUAGCUAUGAACCCUAAAUUAACAUCUACUACUACUAAAUCUAGUACUAACUAGUGGCAGGGGGUGGGGGGCGACGGAGAGGUAGCUAGGGGCGGCGAGGGCGGGAUCGGGAUCGGGAGGUGNNNNNNNNNNNNNNNNNNNNNNNNNNNNNNNNNNNNNNNNNNNNNNNNNNNNNNNNNNNNNNNNNNNNNNNNNNNNNNNNNNNNNNNNNNNNNNNNNNNNNNNNNNNNNNNNNNNNNNNNNNNNNNNNNNNNNNNNNNNNNNNNNNNNNNNNNNNNNNNNNNNNNNNNNNNNNNNNNNNNNNNNNNNNNNNNNNNNNNNNNNNNNNNNNNNNNNNNNNNNNNNNNNNNNNNNNNNNNNNNNNNNNNNNNNNNNNNNNNNNNNNNNNNNNNNNNNNNNNNNNNNNNNNNNNNNNNNNNNNNNNNNNNNNNNNNNNNNNNNNNNNNNNNNNNNNNNNNNNNNNNNNNNNNNNNNNNNNNNNNNNNNNNNNNNNNNNNNNNNNNNNNNNNNNNNNNNNNNNNNNNNNNNNNNNNNNNNNNNNNNNNNNNNNNNNNNNNNNNNNNNNNNNNNNNNNNNNNNNNNNNNNNNNNNNNNNNNNNNNNNNNNNNNNNNNNNNNNNNNNNNNNNNNNNNNNNNNNNNNNNNNNNNNNNNNNNNNNNNNNNNNNNNNNNNNNNNNNNNNNNNNNNNNNNNNNNNNNNNNNNNNNNNNNNNNNNNNNNNNNNNNNNNNNNNNNNNNNNNNGCAAUUAGAGCAGUAGCGCGUUUUACGGUGGACGCGCUACUGCUAUUUUCCUUUCAGCAGCGCGUUUUGCUAUCACGCGCUACUGCUAAGUAGCAGUAGCGUUGUAUUUUGAGCAGCGCUGCUGGUAAGUUUCUGUGUAUAGGCUUUUCCCUAGUAGUGCCCCCUCCCCCUAAAUUGCUAUCUCAAACAAUCUUAAUAAAAAUUUAUAAAUUUGCCAGGACAAAAAAAUGUUGUCAUCAUGUUUUUCGAAGAGUUGCCCUCACUACCCCAUAUUUCCAUUCUGAACAGUAAAACAAAAUUGCCACACCCCUAGAUGAGUAUACCAUGUGCAAAUGUGUGUGAAAAAAUGUGGAGUGGCUACCAUGGGUAUUGCAAUGGCGCAAAAAGACCACAAGUUUUCAAAAAGAUUUCAUACACACAAAAAAAAAGAAAAGGUUGCCAUGAUCUUUAAAAAGUGCCAGCGGCAGAUAGUUGCGAGUUGUUGAUAAUAAAUUUGCCAUGAUGUAUGUAACACAAAAAAGAAAAGGUUGCCAUGAUAUUUAAAAAGAACUAGGGGCGGGGGGCAUGUUGUGGAUAGUAAAUUUGCCAUGUCCUAGAUAGUAAAUUUGCCAUGAUGUAUGUAAUACAGAAAAAAAGUUGUCAUGAUCUGUAAAAAGAACUGGAGCGAGAUAGUUGCCAUGUUGUAGACAACAAAAUUUGCCACAUAUCUAGGAUUUGUAUAAAAUAUGCCAUAUAUCUAGGAUUUGAAUAUAGAUAACACAAAAGAAAGGUUGCCAUGAUUUAUGGAGAAAAAAAUCCUAAAAUUUGGCAUGUGACUAGUAUAUUUUUUUUAACAAUUGCCAUGAUUUUUUUGUAAGAAAUGCCAUGAUGUUUGUGCUUUUCCUAAUGUAUGAAUAAUUGCAUUCCAUGACAAGAAAAUUUGGCAUGAUGUAAAAAAAGAUUUGACGGACACAAGAAAUAUCAAAAAUUGACAAGAUUUUAGAAAACAAAUUCCUGAAUAUUUUAGCCAUGUAACCAUUAGACAUUUGCAAAAAGAUACCAUGUAUGAGAACAAAAUUCCAAAAAAUUCCAUGACACUGUUACAUAUUUGCAAAAAACUUACUAUGUACAAUAGAACGAAAGUUCCUAGACUUUCCAUGUGGCCAUCAUAAACAACUAUAAAAUAUCUCUUCUUUGUUUCCUUGGAGUGCAGGUACUUUUCACCAAUAUUUUCGCCACUGUAAGGGCUUCUUUGUGUUUCUCCGAGAAAUUUGGGAUCCUUCACUAUUUUGGCAGUGUUUUGUGGAAAAAGGGCCACCACCCUCAUUUUGGGUCGUAUAAGGCCCGGGGGCACAAUGAGAGCUGGGGUUGUAGAAAAACAUUGUAAGUUUAACCUAUAGGAAAAUAUCAGCAACCACAAUACCAAAUCAAUAUCUAUGAUGAAUACAUUUUCAUAAUGUAUUUAAUGGUACUAUAUAGACUGGUAUUUUCUGGGACACCUGGUAUUUUAACAGUUUUGACUUGAGACUAGAUGAAUAUGCCUUGUAAUCCAGAAUGAAGGGCAUAGUUGUUGUAGUAUUUAGUUUGGCCAGCCAAUUUUGAUAAAGAUAGUGUUGGGGAACAUAGCAGAAAUUCAAAAUUUUCCUACGUGUCACCAAGAUCUAUCUAUGGAGAGACUAGCAACGAGGGGAAGGAGAGUGCAUCUACAUACCCUUGUAGAUCGCUAAGCGGAAGCGUUCAAGUGAACGGGGUUGAUGGAGUCGUACUCGUCGUGAUUCAGAUCACCGAUGAUCCUAGUGCCGAACGGACGGCACCUCCGCGUUCAACACACGUACGGAACGGAGACGUCUCCCACGCCUUGAUCCAGCAAGGAGGAGGGAGAGGUUGAUGGAGAUCCAGCAGCACGACGGCGUGGUGGAAGUAGCGGGAUUCCAACAGGGCUUCGCUAAGCGCUGCGGGAGGAGGGAGAUGUAUCACGGGAGGGAGAGGGAGGCGCCAGGCCUUAGGUCUGAUUGCUCCUCCUUUUCCCCACUAUAUAUAGGGCCAAGGGAGAGGGGAAGGGCGCAGCCUUGCCCCUUCCUCCAAGGAAGGGUGCGGCCAAGGGUGGGGAGGAGUCCAUCCUCCCCAAGGCACCUCGGAGGUGCCUUCCCCCUUUAGGACUCUCCCCUCUUUUUCCUCUCUUGGCGCAUGUGCCUCUUGGGGCUGGUGCCCUUGGCCCAUGUAGGCCAAGGCGCACCCCCUACAGCCCAUGUGGCCCCCCGGGGCAGGUGGCCCCACCCGGUGGGCCCCCGGGACCCUUCUGUGGUCCCGGUACAAUACCGAUGACCCCGAAACUUGUCCCGAUGGCCGAAACAGGACUUCCUAUAUAUAAAUCUUUACCUCCGGACCAUUCCGGAACUCCUCGUGACGUCCGGGAUCUCAUCCGGGACUCCGAACAACUUUCGGGUUACCGCAUACUAAUAUCUCUAUAACCCUAGCGUCACCGAACCUUAAGUGUGUAGACCCUACGGGUUCGGGAGACAUGUAGACAUGACCGAGACGUUCUCCGGUCAAUAACCAACAGCGGGAUCUGGAUACCCAUGUUGGCUCCCACAUGUUCCACGAUGAUCUCAUCGGAUGAACCACGAUGUCAAGGACUCAAUCAAUCCCGUAUACAAUUCCCUUUGUCUAGCGGUAUGGUACUUGCCCGAGAUUCGAUCGUCGGUAUACCGAUACCUUGUUCAAUCUCGUUACCGGCAAGUCUCUUUACUCGUUCCGUAACACAUCAUCCCGUGAUCAACCCCUUGGUCACAUUGUGCACAUUAUGAUGAUGUCCUACCGAGUGGGCCCAGAGAUACCUCUCCGUUUACACGGAGUGACAAAAUCCCAAUCUCGAUUCGUGCCAACCCAACAGACACUUUCAGAGAUACCCGUAGUGUACCUUUAUAGCCACCCAGUUACGUUGUGACGUUUGGCACACCCAAAGCACUCCUACGGUAUCCGGGAGUUGCACAAUCUCAUGGUCUAAGGAAAUGAUACUUGACAUUAGAAAAGCUUUAGCAUACGAACUACAUGAUAUUGUGCUAGGCUUAGGAUUGGGUCUUGUCCAUCACAUCAUUCUCCUAAUGAUGUGAUCCCGUUAUCAACGACAUCCAAUGUCCAUGGUCAGGAAACCGUAACCAUCUAUUGAUUAACGAGCUAGUCAACUAGAGGCUUACUAGGGACAUGGUGUUGUCUAUGUAUCCACACAUGUAUCUGAGUUUCCUAUCAAUACAAUUCUAGCAUGGAUAAUAAACGAUUAUCAUGAACAAGGAAAUAUAAUAAUAAUCAAUUUAUUAUUGCCUCUAGGGCAUAUUUCCAACAGUCUCCCACUUGCACUAGAGUCAAUAAUCUAGUUCACAUCGAUAUGUGAUUAACACUCAAGGUCACAUCACCAUGUGACUAACACCCAAAGAGUUUACUAGAGUCAAUAAUCUAGUUCACAUUUACCAUGUGAUUAACACUCGAUGAGUUCUGGGUUUGAUCAUGUUAUGCUUGUGAGAGAGGUUAUAGUCAACGGGUCUGAACCUUUCAGAUCCGUGUGUGCUUUACAAAUCUCUAUGUCAUCUCCUAGAUGCAGCUACCACGUUCUAUUUGGAGCUAUUCCAAAUAACUGUUCUACUUGGAGCUAUUCUAAAUUGUUGCUCCAUUAUACGUAUCCGGUAUCUCUACUCAGAGCUAUCCGGAUAGGUGUUAAGCUUGCAUCGACGUAACCCUUUACGACGAACUCUUUUACCACCUCCAUAAUUGAGAAAAUUCCUUAGUCCACUAGUUACUAAGGAUAACUUUGACCACUGUCCUGUGAUCCAUUCUUGGAUCACUCUUGUACCCCUUGACUGACUCAUGGUAAAGCACACUUCAGGUGCAGUACACAGCAUAGCAUACUAUAGAGCCUAUGUCUUAAGCAUAGGGGACGACCUUCGUUCCUUUCUCUCUAUUCUGCCAUGGUCGAGCUUUAAGUCUUAACUUCAUACCUUACAACUCAGGCAAGAACUCCUUUGACUGAUCCAUCUUGAACACCUUCAAGAUCACGUCAAGGCAUGUGCUCAUUUGGAAGUACUAUUAAGCGUUUUGAUCUAUCCUUAUAGAUCUUGAUGCUCAAUGUUCAAGUAGCUUAAUCCAGGUUUUCCAUUGAAAACACUUUCCAAAUAACCCUAUAUGCUUUCCAGAAAUUCUACGCCAUUUCUGAUCAUUAAUAUGUCAACAACAUAUACUCAUCAGAAAUUCUAUAGUGCUCCCACUCACUUCUUUGGAAAUACAAGUUUCUCAUAAACUUUGUAUACACCCAAAAUCUUUGAUCAUCAUCAAAGCAUACAUUCCAACUCCGAGAUGCUCACUCCAGUCCUCAGAAGGAUUGCUGGAGCUUUGCAUACUUAUUAGCAUAUUUCAGGAUAGACAAAACCUUCCGGUUGUAUCAUAUACAACCUUUCCUCAAGAAUCGUCGAGGAAACAAUGUUUUGACAUCCUAUCUGCAAGAUUUCAUAAAUAAUGCAGCAAUUGCUAAUAUAAUUCCAACAGACUCUUAGCAUCGCUACGAGUGAGAAAGUCUCAUCGUAGUCAACUCCUUGAACUUGUCGAAAAACAUCUUAACGACAAGUCGAGCUUUCUCAAUGGUGACACUUACCAUCAUUGUCUGUCUUCCUUUCAAAAUCCAUAUGUACCUAACAGCCUUACGACCAUCAAGUAGUUCUUCCAAAGUCUACACUUUGUUUUCAUAUAUGGAUCCUCUCUCGGAUUACAUGGCCUCGAGCCAUUUAUCGGAAUCCGGGCCCACCAUCGCUUCUCCAUAGCUCGUAGGUUCAUUGUUGUCUAGCAACAUGACUUCCAAGACAGGAUUACGUACCACUCUAAAGUAGUACGCAUCCUUGUCAUCCCACGAGGUUUGGUAGUGACUCGAUCCGAAGUUUCAUGAUCACUAUCAUAAGCUUCCACUUCAGUUGGUGUACGUGCCACAGGAACAACUUCCUGUGCCCUGCUACACACUUGUUGAAGUGACGGUUCAAUAACCUCAUCAAGUCUCCACCAUCCUCCUACUCAACUUUUCGAGAGAAACCUUUCCUCGAAAAAGGACCCGAUUCAAGAAACAAUCCCUAUUGCUUUCGGAUCUGAAUUAGGAGGUAUACCCAACUGUUUUUGGGUGUCCUAUGAAGAUGCAUUUUAUCUGCUUUGGGUUCGAGCUUAUCAACCUGAAACCUUUUCACAUAAGCGUCGCAGCCCCAAACUUUCAAGAAACGGCAACUUAGGUUUCUCCAAACCAUAGUUCAUACGGUGUCGUCUCAACGAAAUUAUGUGGUGCCCUAUUUAAAGUGAAUGUGGUUGUCUCUAAUGCCUAACCCAUGAACGAUAGUGGUAACUCGAUAAGAGACAUCAUGGUAUGCACCAUAUCCAAUAGGGUGCAACUAUGACGUUUGGACACACGAUCACACUAUGGUGUUCCAGGCUGUAUCAGUUGUGAAACAAUUUCCACAAUGUCUUAAUUCUGUGCCAAACUCGUGAUUCAGAUAUUCAUCUCUAUGAUCAUAUCAUAGAUCUUUUAUCCUCUUGUCACGACGAUCUUUCAACUUCACACUGAAAUUACUUGAACCUUUCAAUAAUUCAGACUCGUGAUUCAUCAAGUAAAUAUACUCAACAUCUACUUGAAUCAUCUGUGAAGUAAGAACAUAACGAUAUUCACUGCAUGCCUCAGCACUCAUUGGACUGCACACAUCAAAAUGUGUUACUUCCAACAAGUUGAUAUCUUGUUCCAUCUUACUGAAAACGAGGCUUUUCAGUCAUCUUGCCCAUGUGGUAUGAUUUGCAUGUCCCAAGUGAUUCAAAAUCAAGUGAGUCAAAACGGUCCAUUUGCAUGGAGUUUCUUCAUGCAUAUACACCAAUAGACAUGGUUCGCAUGUCUCAAACUUUUCAAAAACGAGUGAGCCCAAAGAUCCAUCAAUAUGGAGCUUCUUCAUGCGUUUUAUACCGAUAUGACUUACGUGGCAGUGCCACAAGUAGGUGGUACUAUCAUUACUAUCUUUUGGCAUGAACAUGUGUAUCACUACGAUCUAGAUUUAAUAAACCAUUCAUUUUAGGUGUAAGACCAUUGAAGGUAUUAUUCAAAUAAACAGAGUAACCAUUAUUCUCCUUAAAUGAAUAACCGUAUUGCGAUAGACGUAAUCCAAUCAUGUCUAUGCUCAACGCAAACACCAAAUAACAAUUAUUUAGGUUUAACACCAACCUCUUUGGUAGAGGGAGCGUGCGAUGCUUGAUCAUAUCAAGCUUGGAAAAAACUUCCAACACAUAUCGUCAGCUCACCUUUAGCUAGUCUCCGUUUAUUCCGUAGCCUUUUGUUUCGAGUUACUAACACUUAGCAACCGAACCGGUAUCUAAUACCCUGGUGCUACUAGGAGUACUAGCAAAGUACACAUUAACACAAUGUAUAUCCAAUAUACUUCUAUCGACCUUGCCAGCCUUCUUAUCUACCAAGUAUCUAGGGUAAUUCUGCUCUAGUGGUUGUUCCCCUUAUUACAGAAGCACUUAGUCUCGGGUUUGGGUUUUACCUUGGGUUUCUUCACUAGAGCAGCAGCUGAUUUUCCGUUUCAUGAAGUAUCCCUUCUUGCCCUUGCCCUUCUUGAAACUAGUGGUUUCACCAACCAUCAAAAAUUGAUGCUCCUUCUUGAUUUCUACUUUCGCGGUGUCAAACAUCGCGAAUACCUCAAGGAUCAUCAUAUCUAUCCCUGAUAUGUUAUAGUUCAUCACGAAGCUCUAACAGCUUGGUGGCAAUGACUUUGGAGAACCAUCACUGUCUUAUCUGGAAGAUCAACUCCCACUCGAUUCAAAUGAUUGUUGUACUCAGACAAUCUGAGCACAAGCUCAACAAUUGAGCUUUUCUCCUUAGUUUGCAGGUUAAGAAAGUCAUCGGAGGUCUUAUACCUCUUGACAUGGGCACGAGCCUGAAAUCCCAAUUUCAGCCCUCAAAACAUCUCAUAUGUUUCGCGAUGUUUCAAAAACGUCUUUGGUGCCUCAACUCUAAACCGUUUAACUGAACUAUCACGUAGUUAUCAAAACGUGUACGUCAGAUGUUCGCAACAACCACAGACAACGUUCGAGGUUCAGCACACUGAGCGGUGCAUUAAGGACAUAAGCCUUCUAUGAAGCAAUGAGGACAAUCCUCAGUUUACGGACCUAGUCCGCAUAAUUGCUACUAUCAACUUUCAACUAAUUUUUCUCUAGGAACAUAACUAAACAGUAGAACUAUAGCGUGAGCUACGACAUAAUUUGCAAAAACCUUUUGACUAUGUUCAGGAUAAUUAAGUUCAUCUUAUGAACUCCCACUCAGAUAGACAUCCCUCUAGUCAUCUAAGUGAUUACAUGAUCCGAGUCAAACUAGGCCGUGUCCGAUCAUCACGUGAGACGGACUAGUCAUCAUCGGUGAACAUCUUCAUGUUGAUCGUAUCUUCUAUACGACUCAUGUUCGACCUUUCGGUCUCCGUGUUCCGAGGCCAUGUCUGUACAUGCUAGGCUCAUCAAGUUAACCCUAAGUGUUUCGCGUGUGUAAAUCUGUCUUACACCCGUUGUAUGUGAACGUUAGAAUCUAACACCCGAUCAUCACGUGGUGCUUCGAAACACGAACUGUCGCAACGGUGCACAGUUAGGGGAGAACACUUCUUGAAAUUGUUGUUAGGGAUCAUCUUAUUUACUACCGUCGUUCUAAGCAAAUAAGAUGUAUAAACAUGAUAAACAUCACAUGCAAUCAAAUAGUGACAUGAUAUGGCCAUCAUCACUUUGCUCCUUUUGAUCUCCAUCUUCGGGGCUCCUUGAUCAUCAUCGUCACCGACAUGACACCAUGAUCUCCAUCAUCAUGAUCUCCAUCAUCGUGUCUUCAUGAAGUUGCCUUGCCAACUAUUACUUCUACUACUAUGGCUAACGGUUAGCAAUAAAGUAAAGUAAUUACAUGACGUUUAAGUUGACACGCAGGUCACAAAUAAAUAAACACAACUCCUAUGGCUCCUGCCGGUUGUCAUACUCAUCGACAUGCAAGUCGUGAUUCCUAUUACAAGAACAUGAUCAAUCUCAUACAUCACAUAUAUCAUUCAUCACAUCCUUUUUGGCCAUAUCACAUCACAUAGCAUACCCUGCAAAAACAAGUUAGACGUCCUCUAAUUGUUGUUUGCAUGUUUUACGUGGCUGCUAUGGGUUUCUAGCAAGAACGUUUCUUACCUACGCAUGAACCACAACGUGAUAUGCCAAUUGCUAUUUACCCUUCAUAAGGACCCUUUUCAUCGAAUCCGAUCCGACUAAAGUGGGAGAGACAGACACCCGCCAGCCACCUUAUGCAACUAGUGCAUGUUUGUCGGUGGAACCGGUCUCACGUAAGCGUACGUGUAAGGUUGGUCCGGGCAGCUUCAUCCCACGAUGCCGCCGAAUCAAGAUAAGACUAGUAACGGCAAGCAUAUUGAACAAUAUCGACGCCCACAACUACUUUGUGUUCUACUCGUGCAAAGAAUCUACGCAAUAGACCUAGCUCAUGAUGCCACUGUUGGGGAACGUAGCAGAAAUUCAAAAUUUUCCUACGUGUCACCAAGAUCUAUCUAUGGAGAGACUAGCAACGAGGGGAAGGAGAGUGCAUCUACAUACCCUUGUAGAUCGCUAAGCGGAAGCGUUCAAGUGAACGGGGUUGAUGGAGUCGUACUCGUCGUGAUUCAGAUCACCGAUGAUCCUAGUGCCGAACGGACGGCACCUCCGCGUUCAACACACGUACGGAACGGAGACGUCUCCCACGCCUUGAUCCAGCAAGGAGGAGGGAGAGGUUGAUGGAGAUCCAGCAGCACGACGGCGUGGUGGAAGUAGCGGGAUUCCAACAGGGCUUCGCUAAGCGCUGCGGGAGGAGGGAGAUGUAUCACGGGAGGGAGAGGGAGGCGCCAGGCCUUAGGUCUGAUUGCUCCUCCUUUUCCCCACUAUAUAUAGGGCCAAGGGAGAGGGGAAGGGCGCAGCCUUGCCCCUUCCUCCAAGGAAGGGUGCGGCCAAGGGUGGGGAGGAGUCCAUCCUCCCCAAGGCACCUCGGAGGUGCCUUCCCCCUUUAGGACUCUCCCCUCUUUUUCCUCUCUUGGCGCAUGGGCCUCUUGGGGCUGGUGCCCUUGGCCCAUGUAGGCCAAGGCGCACCCCUACAGCCCAUGUGGCCCCCCGGGGCAGGUGGCCCCACCCGGAACCCUUCCGGUGGUCCCGGUACAAUACCGAUGACCCCGAAACUUGUCCCGAUGGCCGAAACAGGACUUCCUAUAUAUAAAUCUUUACCUCCGGACCAUUCCGGAACUCCUCGUGACGUCCGGGAUCUCAUCCGGGACUCCGAACAACUUUCGGGUUACCGCAUACUAAUAUCUCUAUAACCCUAGCGUCACCGAACCUUAAGUGUGUAGACCCUACGGGUUCGGGAGACAUGUAGACAUGACCGAGACGUUCUCCGGUCUAUAACCAACAGCGGGAUGUGGAUACCCAUGUUGGCUCCCACAUGUUCCACGAUGAUCUCAUCGGAUGAACCACGAUGUCAAGGACUCAAUCAAUCCCGUAUACAAUUCCCUUUGUCUAGCGGUAUGGUACUUGCCUGAGAUUCGAUCGUCGGUAUACCGAUACCUUGUUCAAUCUCGUUACCGGCAAGUCUCUUUACUUGUUCCGUAACACAUCAUCCCGUGAUCAACCCCUUGGUCACAUUGUGCACAUUAUGAUGAUGUCCUACCGAGUGGGCCCAGAGAUACCUCUCCGUUUACACAGAGUGACAAAAUCCCAAUCUCGAUUCGUGCCAACCCAACAGACACUUUCAGAGAUACCCGUAGUGUACCUUUAUAGCCACCCAGUUACGUUGUGACGUUUGGCACACCCAAAGCACUCCUACGGUAUCCGGGAGUUGCACAAUCUCAUGGUCUAAGGAAAUGAUACUUGACAUUAGAAAAGCUUUAGCAUACGAACUACAUGAUCUUGUGCUAGGCUUAGGAUUGGGUCUUGUCCAUCACAUCAUUCUCCUAAUGAUGUGAUCCCGUUAUCAACGACAUCCAAUGUCCAUGGUCAGGAAACCGUAACCAUCUAUUGAUUAACGAGCUAGUCAACUAGAGGCUUACUAGGGACAUGGUGUUGUCUAUGUAUCCACAAAUGUAUCUGAGUUUCCUAUCAAUACAAUUCUAGCAUGGAUAAUAAACGAUUAUCAUGAACAAGGAAAUAUAAUAAUAAUCAAUUUAUUAUUGCCUCUAGGGCAUAUUUCCAACAGAUAGUACAUCUUACUGUGAAUUACUAAGAGAAGUGUGCCUUCAUGAUCAUGAAUAGCCAUUAAGAUGCUUAGGGCACUCCAAUUGCAUUGGCUUUUUGUGCGUUCAUAGGUGGUGAACAAAAUAUUAGAGACCAUGAUCUGGUGUAUGUACUAUAUUUAAGUGAUGUUGCACAUUGAUUUAGGGAUUAGGAUUGCAGCUAAAAAUUGUGGUUUGGUUACAAAUAUGAGGAAGUGAGAGAAUGAUAGGAAGAGAAGCCACACAAGAUCUGAGUAUUAUUACAUUGCAAAAUGAAACGAGCUAAGACCUGUAUCUGCACUAACAUAUAACUCCCUAUUAUCUCUUCAUAAUUAUUAUGGCUUGUCAGCAUUUACUUAUGAAAAUGUGCUAAAGAACAAGCACUAGGAGUGCCCUGAUAAACAACUAUUCUAUCCCAUGUAAAAUGUGAGACCUCCAUGCAUGUAUUCAAGUAUUUAGAGUUUAAGUAAUAAUUAUAGCAAUAUCAUAUGGAUUAUGUGGUGCGAAACUAGUAUCGAUAAUUUUUUUAUGAAUCGGAUGAUACUUUUUUUGUAAUGUAACUACAUUAGUGUAAAAUUAAUAAUUAAAGUUGAAUGUCAGGAUACGUAGGAGUCUUACAUUAUAAGAAAAAAGGUGCUACUGUGUAUAUUUAUAGAGCUAGACCUCGCUCCGCUCUGUACCUAUUUAGGGUUCUAUUUUCUCAUUCGCACAUUUUCCAGUUUAAUUUCAACUGUCCCAUGACUAUAGGGUCUCGAAAAUAAUGAUUGCUCUAGAUAAAACUAAGCAAUAAUGCAUUGUGUAACAUGUUUUAUUGUCUUCUCUAAAUAAUUACUUUGACCUUUAAUUUCUAAGAAUCUUCUCAAUAUAACAGAUGAAAGGAACACAGAAUUUUGAAGAUUAGUCAAUGAGUGAAUCGGAAAGAAAGGAGUGUAAAACUUCGAUCAACUAGCUUUCAAACAAAAAAGCCUUUGAUCAACUCAUGGUUGUCAUGUUGCUGUAAGUAAUAUUAACAUAUAAGAGUGUCAUAUCAACUACUCCCUCCAUUCCAAAAUUACUCGUCAUCAUUUUAGUUCAAAUUUGAAUUAAAACUAUGAUGAGUAAUUUGGAACGGAGGGAGUACUGUACAUGCUCUAAUUUUUUUCUUUUAAAUAUGCAUUUCUAAUAUACGGUGUAGAAACAGUUUCAUGCAUUACGCAUCCCUGCAUUUCUAAUGUAUGAUGUUGAAGAAUAGUUUCCAUGCAUUACGCAUCCCUGCAUCUCUGUAUCUUAAUUACCAAUUAAAUAGGACCACGGAAUGGACGAAAUAGAGAGGAACGGCGAGUCAGGUCGUAUACAGCCGGGUAGAAGAUAAGAUUUGCGGUCCUGGAUCUGGAUGUGAUAAGAUUUGCCAUGAUGUAUGUAACACAAAAAAAGAAAACGUUGCCAUGAUAUUUAAGAAGAACUAGGGGUGGGGGGCAUGUUGUGGAUAGUAAAUUUGCCAUGUCCUAGAUAGUAAAUUUGCCAUGAUGUAUGUAAUACAGAAAAAAAAAGUUGUCAUGAUCUGUAAAAAGAACUGGAGCGAGAUAGUUGCCAUGUUGUAGACAACAAAAUUUGCCACAUAUCUAGGAUUUGUAUAAAAUAUGCCAUAUAUCUAGGAUUUGAAUAUAGAUAACACAAAAGAAAGGUUGCCAUGAUUUAUGGAGAACAAAAAUCCUAAAAUUUGGCAUGUGACUAGUAUAUUUUUUUUUAACAAUUGCCAUGAUUUUUUUGUAAGAAAUGCCAUGAUGUUUGUGCUUUUCCUAAUGUAUGAAUAAUUGCAUUCCAUGACAAGAAAAUUUGGCAUGAUGUAAAAAAAGAUUUGACGGACACAAGAAAUAACAAAAAUUGACAUGAUUUUAGAAAACAAAUUCCUGAAUAUUUUAGCCAUGUAACCAUUAGACAUUUGCAAAAAGAUACCAUGUAUGAGAACAAAAUUCCAAAAAAUUCCAUGACACUGUUACAUAUUUGCAAAAAACUUACUAUGUACAAGAGAACGAAAGUUCAUAGACUUUCCAUGUGGCCAUUAUAAACAACUAUAAAAUAUCUCUUCUUUGUUUCCUUGGAGUGCAGGUACUUUUCACCAAUAUUUUCACCACUGUAAGGGCUUCUUUGUGUUUCUCCGAGAAAUUUGGGAUCCUUCAAUAUUUUGGUAGUGUUUUGUGGAAAAAGGGCCACCACCCUCAUUUUUGGGUCGUAUAAGGCCCGGGGGCACAAUGAGAGCUGGGGUUGUGGAAAAACAUUGUAAGUUUAACCUAUAGGAAAAUAUCAGCAACCACAAUACCAAAUCAAUAUCUAUGAUGAAUACAUUUUCAUAAUGUAUUUAAUGGCACUAUAUAGACUGGUAUUUUCUGGGACACCUGGUAUUUUAACAGUUUUGACUUGAGACUAGAUGAAUAUGCCUUGUAAUCCAGAAUGAAGAGCAUAGUUGUUGUAGUAUUUAGUUUGGCCAGCCAAUUUUGAUAAAGAUAGUACAUCUUACUGUGAAUUACUAAGAGAAGUGUGCCUUCAUGAUCAUGAAUAGCCAUUAAGAUGCUUAGGGCACUCCAAUUGCAAUGGCUUUUUGUGCGUUCAUAGGUGGUGAACAAAAUAUUAGAGACCAUGAUCUGGUGUAUGUACUAUAUUUAAGUGAUGUUGCAUUUCAUUGAUUUAGGGAUUAGGAUUGCCGCUAAAAAUUGUGGUCUGGUUACAAAUAUGAGGAAGUGAGAGAAUGAUAGGAAGAGAAGCCACACAAGAUCUGAGUAUUAUUACACUACAAAAUGAAACGAGCUAAGACCUGUAUCUGCACUAACAUAUAACUCCCUAUUAUCUCUUCAUAAUUAUUAUGGCUUGUCAGCAUUUACUUAUGAAAAUGUGCUAAAGAACAAGCACUAGGAGUGCCCUGAUAAACAACUAUUCUAUCCCAUGUAAAAUGUGAGACCUCCAUGCAUGUAUUCAAGUAUUUAGAGUUUAAGUAAUAAUUAUAGCAAUAUCAUAUGGAUUAUGUGGUGCGAAACUGGUAUCGAUAAUUUUUUUAUGAAUCGGAUGAUACUUUUUUUGUAAUGUAACUACAUUAGUGUAAUAUUAAUAAUUAAAGUUGAAUGUCAGGAUACGUAGGAGUCUUACAUUAUAAGAAAAAAGGUGCUACUGUGUAUAUUUAUAGAGCUAGACCUCGCUCCACUCUGUACCCAUUUAGUGUUCUAUUUUCUCAUUCACACAUUUUCUAGUUUAAUUUCAACUGCCCCAUGACUGUAGGGUCUCGAAAAUAAUGAUUGCUCUAGAUAAAACUAAGCAAUAAUGCAUUGUGUAACAUGUUUUAUUGUCUUAUCUAAAUAAUUACUUUGACCUUUAAUUUGUAAGAAUCUUCUCAAUAUAACAGAUGAAAGGAGCACAGAAUUUUGAAGAUUAGUCAAUGAGUGAAUCGGAAAGAAAGGAGUGUAAAACUUCGAUCAACUAGCUGUCAAACAAAAAAAACUUUGAUCAACUCAUGGUCGUCAUGUUACUAUAAGUAAUAUUAACAUAUAAGAGUGUCAUAUCAACUACUCCCUCUGUUCCAAAAUUACUAGUCGUCGUUUUAGUUCAAAUUUGAACUAAAACCAUGACGAGUAAUUUGGAACAGAGGGAGUACUGUACAUGCUCUAAUUUUUUUCAAUAUACGGUGUAGAAAUAGUUUCAUGCAUUACGCAUCCCUGCAUUUCUAAUGUAUGAUGUUGUAGAAUAGUUUCCAUGCAUUACGCAUCCCUGCAUCUCUGUAUCUUAAUUACCAAUUAAAUAGGAGCACAAAAUGGACGAAAUAGAGAGGAACGGCGAGUCAGGUCGUAUACGGCCGGGUAGAAGAUAACAUUUGUGGUCCUGGAUCUGGAUGUGAUAAGAUUUGCCAUGAUGUAUGUAACACACAAAAAAGAAAAUGUUGCCAUGAUAUUUAAAAAGAACUAGGGGCGGGGGGCAUGUUGUGGAUAUUAAAUUUGCCAUGUCCUAGAUAGUAAAUUUGCCAUGAUGUAUGUAACAUAGAAAAAAAAGUUGUCAUGAUCUGUAAAAAGAACUGGAGCGAGAUAGUUGCCAUGUUGUAGACAACAAAAUUUGCCACAUAUCUAGGAUUUGUAUAAAAUAUGCCAUAUAUCUAGGAUUUGAAUAUAGAUAACACAAAAGAAAGGUUGCCAUGAUUUAUGGAGAACAAAAAUCCUAAAAUUUGGCAUGUGACUAGUAUAUUUUUUUAACAAUUGCAAUGAUUUUUAGAUUUUUUGUAAGAAAUGCCACGAUGUUUGUGCUUUUCCUAAUGUAUGAAUAAUUGCAUUCCAUGACAAGAAAAUUUGGCAUGAUGUAAAAAAAGAUUUGACGGACACAAGAAAUAUCAAAAAUUGACAUGAUUUUAGAAAAAAAAUUCUGAAUAUUUUAGCCAUGUAACCAUUACACAUUUGCAAAAAGAUACCAUGUAUGAGAACAAAAUUCCAAAAAAAUCCAUGACACUGUUACAUAUUUGCAAAAAACUUACUAUGUACAAGAGAAUGAAAAUUCAUAGACUUUCCAUGUGGCCAUUAUAAACAGCUAUAAAAUAUCUCUUCUUUGUUUCCUUGGAGUGCAGGUACUUUUCACCAAUAUUUUCGCCACUAUAAGGGCUUCUUUGUGUUUCUCCGAGAAAUUUGGGCUCCUUCACCAUUUUGGCAGUGUUUUGUGGAAAAAGGGCCACCACCCUCAUUUUGGGUCGUAUUAGGCCCGGGGGCACAAUGAGAGCUGGGAUUGUGGAAAAACAUUGUAAGUUUAACCUAUAGGAAAAUAUCAGCAACCACACUACCAAAUCAAAAUCUAUGAUGAAUACAUUUUCAUAAUGUAUUUAAUGGUACUAUAUAGACUGGUAUUUUCUGGGACACCUGGUCUUUUAACAAUUUAGACUUGAGACUAGAUGAAUAUGCCUUAAUCCAGAAUGAAGGGCAUAGUUGUUGUAGUAUUUAGUUUGGCCACCCAAUUUUGAUAAAGAUAGUACAUCUUACUGUGAAUUACUAAGAGAAGUGUGCCUUCAUGAUCAUGAAUAGCCAUUAAGAUGCUUAGGGCACUCCAAUUGCAUUGGCUUUUUGUGCGUUCAUAGGUGGUGAACAAAAUAUUAGAGACCAUGAUCUGCUGUAUGUACUAUAUUUAAGUGAUGUUGCAUUUCAUUGAUUUAGGGAUUAGGAUUGUAGCUAAAAAUUAUGGUCUGGUUACAAAUAUGAGGAAAUGAGAGAAAGAUAGGAAGAGAAGCCACACAAGAUCUGAGUAUUAUUACACUGCAAAAUGAAACGAGCUAAGACCUGUAUCUGCACUAACAUAUAACUCCCUAUUAUCUCUUCAUAAUUAUUAUGGCUUGUCAGCAUUUACUUAUGAAAAUGUGCUAAAGAACAAGCACCAGGAGUGCCCUGAUAAACAACUAUUCUAUCCCAUGUAAAAUGUGAGACCUCCAUGCAUGUAUUCAAGUAUUUAGAGUUUAAGUAAUAACUAUAGCAAUAUCAUAUGGAUUAUGUGGUGCAAAACUGGUAUCGAUAUUCUUUUAUGAAUUGGAUGAUACUUUUUUUGUAAUGUAACUACAUUAGUGUAAAAUUAAUAAUUAAAGUUGAAUGUCAGGAUACGUAGGAGUCUUACAUUAUAAGAAAAAAGGUGCUACUGUGUAUAUUUAUAGAUCCAGACCUCGCUCCGCUCUGUACCUAUUUAGGGUUCUAUUUUCUCAUUCACACAUUUUCCAGUUUAAUUUCAACUGCCCCAUGACUGUAGGGUCUCGAAAAUAAUGAUUGCUCUAGAUAAAACUAAGCAAUAAUGCAUUGUGUAACAUGUUUUAUUGUCUUCUCUAAAUAAUUACUUUGACCUUUAAUUUCUAAGAAUCUUCUCAAUGUAACAGAUGAAAGGAACACAGAAUUUUGAAGAUUAGUCAAUGAGUGAAUCGGAAAGAAAGGAGUGUAAAACUUCAAUCAACUAGCUUUCAAACAAAAAAACUUUGAUCAACUCAUGGUUGUCAUGUUGCUCUAAGUAAUAUUAACAUAUAAGAGUGUCAUAUCAACUACUCCCUCCGUUCCAAAUUACUCGUCGUCCUUUUAGUUCAAAUUUGAACUAAAACCAUGACGAGUAAUUUGAAACAGAGAGAGUACUGUACAUGCUCUAAUUUUUUUCUUUUAAAUAUGCAUUUCUAAUAUACGGUGUAGAAACGGUUUCAUGCAUUACGCAUCCCUGCAUUUCUAAUCUAUGAUGUUGAAGAAUAGUUUCCAUGCAUUACGCAUCCCUGCAUCUCUGUAUCUUAAUUACCAAUUAAAUAGGACCACGGAAUGGACGGAAUAGAGAGGAACGGCGAGUCAGGUCGUAUACGGCCGGGUAGAAGAUAAGAUUUGCGGUCCUGGAUCUGGAUGUGAUAAGAUUUUCUUCGUGCUGGAUCAGAUCAGAUUUUUCUGGAGUUGGAUGUGACCAUAUUGUACAAUGCGUAUGGCAUGCAUGCAUCUCACUAAGCUAGCCAUAGUGUGGUAUCAUGCACUCGAGAAUAGUAAGCACACUGAUGUGGCAGAGAAUUAAAGAAGAGAGAGGAUGAGAGUAACCUAGAUAGAUAUCAUAUCAUAAUAAAUGUUAUGCCAUUUUGUGUCGUACAUUGUCCUAAAUAAAUCAUCUAUGAUACUACCUCCGUCCUGGUUUAUUGAUCCACAUCGUAUUUCAUGCCAAAUUUUUCCAUAAAUUUAACUAACAAAACGUCCACGCAUGCCAUUAAAAUUAUAUCAUUAAAAACUAUAUUUAAAUACGAAUUCAGCGAUAUAAUUUUUGUUGACAUGCAUUAACAUUUUUUAACUUAUUUUUUAGUCAAAAAUUUGACACAAGUUACAAAGGGGACUAAUAAACCUAAAUGGAGGUAGUAAUACUCUAUGAUACCAUGAACUAUGAACUAUAAAAGUAGUAUCAUUUACUAGUACUCCCUCCGUCCCAAAAUUCUUGUCUUAAAUUUGUCUAGAUACAGAUGUAUGUAAGACAAGAAUUUUAGGACGAAGGGAGUAUAUCAUACUAUAGAUGAUACUAAUAUAUGAUACUUCCCACUAUAAGUAGCCUAAUAUUAAUAUGUAAUACUACUCCUUUUUUUUGAGGAUAUGUAAUACUACUCCUAAUCAGACGAGUGACAGUGUGGGCCGCCUAACAGCAGCAAGCAUGUAUGCGUGAACGGUCACGGACAGCCACGGUGGUGACCACGAGGACGUGAUGCCAAACAUGCAUAAUGGUGGGUCACCAACAACAAACACACAUGUGUACAUCUCAGUGAGUGUACGUACACAAUAAUGGUGGCCACGAUCGACAACCAGUGGCCACCAUUAAAUCAGGACGUGGUGCGAAAUAGUACGAUACUGUAGAGAUCUGCACAUACGUCCAUGCAUGUGCACCAUCGUUAUCUAUCUAUCUAUCUAGCGAACCAAGCGCAUGCAUGUCCCGGAGAAGCUACUACUGUACUAUAGAGCACAGCUGUGCUCUCCUGCCAUGGCUCGUAGUGACACAAUCCUGUUCGUCGGCAUGGGCAUUAGGGCAUCUCCAGCCUGUUGGCCCCCCACGAGGGGCAAAAAAUCGCCCGCUGGGGGCGCACCGGCGCUAAACCACGCACGGGGGGCGUGAUGCCCCCCAGUCGCGGCGCCCACGGUUAGUCGAAAAAGUUAAAUACGGCGCAAAAACGACUCAAAUUUAACGCAAACAUCGGCGAGUUCGUUCAAACUUAAACAUAUUUUACAAAAAAGAAAAAAAACUACCCCCGCCGUCUCGCUCGUCGCCCGGCCACGUGGUUCUACAUGCCGAGGAGGCUGUAGAACCACGUGUAGUCACCGCCGUCGUCGUCAUCGUCGUCCUCGUCGUCGCCGCCCCUGCCUCCGCCUCCGCCGUCCCUGUUGCAUCCCUCCCCCGGUUGGCGCGGCGGGUUGGACGGUCCGGGGGCGUCGUCGUCGUCGCUGUCGAGGACCACGACGUCGUGCUCGUCCUCGCGCCCACGCUUGCGGGCGGCGAUCUCCUCCAGGGCGACCAUCUCGUCGCGGAGAUAGUCGUCCCGCUCCCACCGCAUGGCGUCCUCGUCGGAGAAGCCGCGCCGGGCUAUCUCCUUGUACUCUGCGGGGAGGCCGGGCUCCGGCUUGGGCUCGACGAGGACGAAGCGGCCGGUGGGUGGAGAGGCGUUGGCGCCGAUGCGGACGCCGGAGCUGCGGGUGCGUGCACUGACCGGUGUGUCCUGGGGCUCCGGCUUGACGGGGCGGAGGCAGGGCGAGCCGCCGGACGAGGAGGAGGACCCCCCGGUCUCCAUGCGCCUCGGGGUCCAGGAGCUUCCCCGGCGGCGUGACAAGGAAGGGGGGGCGGGGUACUCGAGGCGCGGCGUGUUGCCGCCCUCGAUGUACUCGAGGACGGCCUCCAACGUGCGCCCGGGCACGCCCCACCACAGACGCCGGCCGGCGGUGUUGAGCCUGCCGGAGGGCACGACGCCGUUGGUGGCCUCGAGUUGCUGGGCAUGACGGCGGCGGAAGUAGGUUCCCAGAGCGGGCUGUCGGGGACGUACCGUGGCCCCUCCCUCGCCGCACGCGGCAGGUUCGAGCGGAUGCAUGCGAUCUCCGCACGCCGCGCCGCGCCGGUGGGUACCGGGGGCACCGGCACGCCGCCCGCGCUGAUCCUCCACGCCCCGGGCACCCGCAUGUCCGGCGGGACCGGGUACUCGGCCUCGUAAAGGAGGCGAGCCUCGUCUUCAUGAAGAUGGCGGCGGCCGAAGCCGUUCGCCGCCGCGCCGUCGCCUGGGAAGCGCUCGGCCAUGGGUGUGAACUGGAGACGGCGAAAGAGAGGAGAGGAGAGGGAGGAACGACGGCGGCGGGAGAGUGUGAGUCGCCGAGUGCGCCGGGGCGCUUCAUAUAUAGGCCGAGGCGCGUGUGCCACCGUGCGUACGCGUGGCGGGCGAGGGAGGGCGAGGGACGCGCGUCGUCCGGUCUUCACUGCGCCGCCCGUGAGGCAUCAAUGGUGCAGGCUGACCGGCGCGGCAGCGCGGCAGCUUUGGCAUUGAUUCGUCACGGGAAACGAGGCGAUGAGGACGACGAAGGGCCGAGAAGAGAGCCAUGUCGCUGACGCGGCGGGCCCGCAGCUUUUUCGCGCCAAAACAGUUCGCCCGGCGCCCCCGGGCGCCCCCCAGCGCGCCGGGUUCGGGCUGGGUCCGCCGGCGCUGUUUUCGGCCCAAGCCGGCGAAAAUCGGGCUCCUGGGACGCGAUUGGGCCAUUUUUUUGGUGCCGGCACGAAAAAAACGUCUGAGGAGGCCUUUCUGGAGGCGCGGCUGGAGAUGCCUUUAUAGGUGCAUGUGCAUGCAUCCAAGUCUCGAAGUCGUGACUCUCUCAACAACUUCCUUAAAUUCCAUCCGUGGUUGCUGGCAAGAGCUCUGCUUAGAUCGGAUCUAAACAGUGAAACAAUUGACACGUCCCACUGUCACGAAAUUAAUAGGAUAGACAAUGCAUCAGAAGGCAUGAUGUCUCUAUUUCCAAAUUAAAAGAAUAACAAUUGUUGUUAUUUUCUUCUAUAUAUGUAUUAGGUGAAAAAAACUUUUUGACUGAAUUGAUCUACAUGCUGAUAUGAUUAAUAUGUAUACUCUCUCCAUUUCUAAAUAUAGAGUCUUUUAGAGAUUCCAAAGCAAACUACAUACAAAGUAAAAUGACUGAAUCUAUACUAUAAAAUAUACUCUCUUCGUUUUUAUUUACUCUGCAUAUUAGAAUUAACUGAAGUCAAACUUCUUAAAGUUUGACCAAAUUUAUAGAAAAGAAUAUAAAUAGAUAUCAUAACAAAAUAUAUGAUGUGAAAGUACAUUCAAUAAUGAAUCUAAUGGUAUUGAGUUGUUAUUGUAUAUGUUAAUAUUUUUGUCUAUAAAUUUAGUCAAAGUUACAAAGCUUGAAUUUGACCAAAGCUAAUACGUGCAGUAAAUUAAAACGAAGGAAAUAUCUAUAUACAUCUACAUGUAAUCUAUAUUAAAAUCUCUAAAAGAUCUAAUAUUUAUAUUUAGAAACGGAGGCAGGGAGUAUGAAGCAUCCAUUCAGUGUGAGUUCAUGAGGCGAGGGGCUGGCUCGUUCUUACUGUUGACAAUUCUCUAGUGGAUAUACAUCCACACAGACGCAUGUACUCCAUUCAGGCAUAGUACUCCCUCCGUUUCAUAAUGUAGUGCCUAUAGAUUUUUUGAAAAGUCAAACUUUACAAACUUUGACCAAGUUUAUGAAGAAAAACAUUUACAUUUAAAAUGCUAAACAUAUAUUAUUAGAUUCAUCUUAAGAUGUAUUUUUAUAUUUUAUAUAUUUGACAUUGUAUAUAUAUAUAAAUAGUUUUUUUUAUAAACUUGACCAAAGUUUGACUUUAUAAAAAAAUCUAUAGAUACUACAUUAUGGAACGGAGGGAGUAUUGGGCAGCCCAGCCUGGUUUUCCCAAUUGUUAGACUGAAAUCAGCUCCGUGGGAUGGGCGCCCACUUUUUAGAUAUUUCGAAGCGUAUGAGUAGUUUGCCAUAAUUUAGAAAAAUGGUAGCAUGUCGCAUCAAGAGAUUGCUCAUUGGAUACAAGAUAAGACCUGCAUGCCGAGUCAUGGUGAGUCAGAUCGGGUCCAAUCUAAUCGUCCUUACUUGCAAGGCAUGGGCAUGCAUAUCAAUGAAUGUGGUAGCUGUGCGUGCACGUACACGUACUACUCCAUUAUUGAUCCCACUUUGAAUUAUUGAUUGCCAUAUGUCAUCCAUUAAGGCGCGACAUCGAACCGCAGUACUUUCUCAGUCCGAGUUUAAUAGGCAUAAAGACAAUUUCUUUUGGAUCAAGACACAUAGUAAUUUGCUCAUGUUAGUUCUUUUAUUUCACUCCUAAUGCACUCUCACAUUCAUGCAGCUAAUUAAAAAGAAUGCAUGCAGCGUAUUAAUUUCCCAAUCAUGGCACCAAACAAUAAUGGCUUUCAAUGCAACCAAUGAAGUGAUUGCAUGUAUGCACCUUUUCAAAGCGAUGCCUUAUAAAAAGGGACAUGCUUGUUUUGCUGUGAGGCCCAAUAAACCCGGACGGAGGAAGUACAUAGGUCAGUCCUGGUUUUUAUGUCCCUAUUAUAUUUUGUGCCAAAUUUUGACCAUAGAUUUAACUAAUAAAAUGUUCAUGUAUGUCAUAAAAAAUUAUAUAAUUAGAAACUAUAUUUAAGUACAAAUUCAACGAUAUAUUUUUGUUGACAUGCAUUAACAUUUUAUAAAUUAAAUAUUUGAUCAAAAUUUGGCAUAAAUUAUAAAAGGGACCACUAAAUCAGGACGGAGGCAGUAAAACCUUAAAGAUUAAAAGGGCUUAUAUUUCUUUAUAGAGGAAGUAGCAAAUUACUCUACACAAAAUAAUGGUAUAUCUGCCGAAAACCGGAGCAGUAGUAUACGUUCUAGAAGGGACUAUGUGUGUGGGGACUGGGGACUGGGGUCAAGUAUAACUAUUGUCAUUAUCAGCCGAAAGCAUGUGUUUUAUUAGGAAACUCUAAGUUAAAAGCGUACACACAGCCGCGUUUCCGCGGAUCCCGCUUGCGUCUCUGUGGUGCUACGGUAUUAUCGCUACAGGAGGCUACAAGACAAAUGCAUGGAUCACAUCAUGUGCUGCUGGUUUAUACCCAGCUUCGUGCGAUAAAUGACCGCUCACGUGGGAUGCAUGCAUGAAAAGGAAAAGAAGAACCGAGCAACCCGCUGCAUGCGCUAAUCUGGUUGGAUACAUGUCAGAGCAUCUACAACCGGACGCCCUCAAAUAAUGAUCACUCAUAUACCCGUGGACACGCCAGGUUAGUGACCGGACAGGAGAGAAGAAAAAAGGGACGACUCCACGUAUCGUCCCAUAUGUUCGGGCUGUCCGCGAACCGCAUAUUGCGGCCAAAUGUCGGGAGGAUAUGAGGGCUGAUGGAGGCGCCCCUGUGUGCUCGGUCGAUCCGCCACGUAGGUCGCGACCGCACCCCGAACCACAUUUUUUCUUUCUUUAUUCAUUCUUUUCAUUCUCUUUCUUCAUCUCCAUCAAUCACAGGCAAGUGAUCAAACAUACAAGGGAAAAAAAAGAGAAGUGUGACCGCACGGACGAACAAAUAGGGUUCAAAACGGACAUGUCCGACCACUGGCCGGGUGCGUUCGCGGGCUUUUGAGAGGUUAAAUUUGGGCAGUCCGGCUGUAGAUUCUCUUAGCAGCGUUAAUAUCUCGUGUUGAUCCUUAGUUUUGGCUAAGGGUGUGGUGAGGUCCAGUCUACUAUUAUUUAAUUAAUUCUUGGUCAGUGUUAUAAGAUAAUUAAAAACACUAAAAAUCAAAUUUUGCACGGUUAAUGUAAGAUAUCACGAAUAGAGCAUUGACUGAGACUUCGUUAAGUUUGGUCCGACUAAGAUUUAACUAAGUCUCGGUCAAGUGACAUAACAUGUAAGAAAAUAAAAGAAAAAAACGAAAAUAAAGUUUUGCAUGGUUAAUAUAAGAUCUCAUGAAUAUAGCAUCGACUGACACUUGAACAAGUUGGUACGUAAGAUAAGUUUUGCCGAGCUAGAUCUGGUAUGUUUUGUAUGCAUCUUAGUAAGUGAACUACAGUCCUCAUGCUGACGUAGCACUCACGUAGGCUAGCUGAAUGAUGCGGUGUUUUCAUUGUGGACCAUCAACAUGGGCAUAGGUUCAUCUGCCACCCGAUGGACAGUAUACUUGAAACCAAAAAUUCUAAAAAAUUAAUUUUUUCUGUGGCACCGAAAAUAACCGUGUGCUGGGUGCGAGUAAACUUUUAAGGACAAACGACAUCCAAAAAGCUUCGGAAGUAUGUAUUAUGGAGAGCUGAUUUUUAUUCUAGAGGUCCCGGGAUGCCAUUUCUUGACAAAAUUUUGAAUGCACGAAGAAAACUUGACCAUCUUGGAUGUUAAAAGAAAAUCAGACAUUUUAAUUUUAUUUUCUACUCUGUUUUCUGGUCUAGAUGUUGUUUUUCUGUAUUUUUAGAACAAGCAUGACAGCCAAACUUACACUUGGUGCAUCUACCCAAAUCCCGAUGGACCACUCCACAGAGAUGGAUAGGGAGGGGUUCUCCAUAGGAUAAGAAGUCCUGCCGAGCGAGAUCCAAUCUAUAUAUAAUUCUCAAUCACGUACGUGUACGUACGUGCAAGUCGGGGCCAGACGAUUUAUAGAUGAGGUGUCGGUGUGUGAACGAUGAGGAGCAGCCAUGGAUUCAUUCAUGACGACGUAGAAAUCUUGUUCUCCAGCAGCAAGCAUACUACUACGUGUUCCACGAGGCUGUGAUUCCAAUCGAUGCAUGCAUGUGCGUGCAUGCACCUACUCCACGACCACGAUAAGACGGGCGUGCAUUCAUGGCUCUGAACAGAACAGCCAUCGGGGUGACUAAGGAUGGAUGGAGUCAUGGAGGAGACGUGUAUUCACGUGGGCUGUCUAGCUAGUACUACCACACCAUGCAAGCACAUAUGGAGGGGACGGCUACGAUGGAAACAACCUUUAUGAUGAAAUACUAAAACUUGGCCGGGUUAGAGUUGCACCACCUCAAUCGUUGGAUUAGAGUUGGAUGGCACAUACUACUACACAAGUUACAAACUUACACCAACUAGUUCUAAAACUUACACAGGCAUGUUUCUAAAACUAACAAAAGUUACAAACUUACACCAAUCUUGUUCUCCAACAUGCUAACACUGUGGGAACACAGCCGGUCACCGGACAUGGCCACGGUGACCGGUCACCGGACAUGGCCACGGUGACCGGACAAACUCCGCUUAAAGAUCCCUACCUUGCAUGUAAUAAUAAGGAUUUGAGAUUUCUAAUUUGAGGUAUUCGGAUGUGGCUUGCAUUAUUUGAGGCGUGACAGCUCAGUGUCCCCGGACGCGUCCGCGGGCGUUUGAGGAACCGGAUUUGCAAAGUCCGGUUGCUCUUAGCAGCGUUAAUAUCUUGUCUUGGUCAAUUGAUAUUUUUGUGUUACUAUUAAAAUUGCCUUUUCACGGGGACAACCAAACUUACUUCCUCCGUCCGCGAAUAAGUGUACAUCUAGUUUUUGUCUUAAAUUAAAGUUUUAAAACUUUGACCACCUUUCUAGGAAAACGUAAAAGCGUUUACGUCACCAAAUUAGAAUCACUAUAUUUGUUUUGAAAUAUACUUUGAUAAUAUAUCAAUUUGAUAUUAUAUAUGUUACUACUAUUUUCAAUAAAGUUGAUCAAAAUUAAAAAACUUUGACUUAGAACAAAAGCUAGAUGUCCAUUUAUUCGCGGACGGAGGGAGUACACUUGGCGCAAGUGGGGAGCCAGGAUUCGAGUAUCGCUGGGCAAGCUAACUUAAAAGAAAAUGGCACCGGCAGACGGUAGGUCCCGAAGAAGGCGAUGCUGCCACGGCCACUGUCGUCGCUCCCCAUGGCCGACCGACGCGCGGUCGAUCGAGCAAGAAUGAAACAACUUCUUUCGAUGGGUUCCUCUUUCUCUGGUUUGUGUUGCCUUGCUAUGCUUGAUUUAUAAUGACAUGCAAGCAGGACUUCAGUAGCUUCAAUUAAAACAAACUCCCGCAAUUUUUCUUCUAAAGCAAAGACUUAUCUCUGCUGACAAUUUUUAUCCAGUUAUUUUAUAUUCAGUGAUUCAUUAAUCCACUGAUGAGUAGACUACAAGUACCUCCGUUCUAGUUUACAAGUCUCCUUUAUAUUUUGUGUCAAAUCUUAACUAGAGAUUUAAUUAACAAAUUAUUAGUGCAUGUCAUAAAAAAUUAUACCAUUGAAUUCGUAUUUGAACAUAGUUUUUCAUUAUAUUAUUUUUAUGACAUGCAUUAACAUUUUAUUACUUAAAUUUAAGGACAAAAAUUGACACAAAAUACAAAGAGGACUGAUAAACGAGGACGGAGGUAGUAAAUUCCUUGAGUGUUGUACUCCCUCCGUCCCAUAAUAUAAGAAUGUUUUUUACACUAGUGUAGUGUCAAAACCGUUCUUAUAUUAUGGGACGGAGAGAGUAGUAUAUAGUAAUAGUAAUAGUAAAAAAAUAUACAAAAAUUGGAGUUGGUAGUGAGUUCAUUUGUGGGGUCAACAACCUUCACAAUAAACAAAUACACUCCUCUUUCUCUUCACAUGUGGAAGUAGCAAACUUCCAGGAGACUUAUAAACAAAUGCACUAGAGCUACUUUAACGGAAAGCCAACAGUCAUUUAGAAGACACGGAUAACAAUUGCAAAUAACAUGACUCGAACUCAAAAUUAUGAUUUUGGUUUUAGUUUCUCUUCCCAACAAAAUUUCAAGUUUUAUAUCAUACCAUAGGAGAGUGAACAAAUUGUAAUGCCCAUUCUCCCAUGUUUUCAAAUUCAAAAUGUUGUCUCACUAUACAUUUUUCAAAGGACCUACUACAGUCACAUCAAAGAAAAAAAAUGAAUUAGUGACAUUGGUAUUACUCUUUACAAAGAAAGCAAAUGAAAUAGGAACUAAACCAGAAUCAUAAUAGUGAUGUUUUUUAAGAAAGAAUAAAUAAGUGGCAUUGAUACUACCCUUCGAGAAAAGGGAAAAUUAAAAAACUAAAACAAACAACGACAAAAAAUGUACACAAUGUUCACAAAAAUGCUCUUUUAAAAAAUAUGCAUGAAUAAACGUGUAAUGGUGGAAUUUUUGCAUAAACAAUUCCUAAAAAAGGAAUGAAUUAGUGGCAAUGGUUUACCCUUGAAGAAGAGGGCAGCGAGGCUGCAUGGGAGCGCCGGCGGCCACGGGUGAUGGUGGCCGGGGUUCGGCCGGUGGCAUAUUUGAUGGUUGGGGGAAGAAGAAAAAGAAGGUGGUCUGGAGGUUGAAGGAGCAAUCUGCACCGCAUGUUUUCCAUCCAACGGUUGAAACGAAAUCGGCCGACCUAAAUUGAAAUUUCAGUCGAUUUAUUACCGCUAGCCAUUCCCUUAAAGUAUGACCAUAAUUCAUCAUGGAAAAUAGUUUCACAACGAAGAAUCCUGCUAGCUAAGGUUAGGUCUUCUGUUUAUGUAUAUAUAGAAAGGUAUGCAUGCGCGUCUCCCCAAUACACGUACGCCAGACACAGAAGCUCUGCUCCGCUAGCUUGUAAGCCAUGGCGUUCAACGACGACGAGAAGCCUCCUGCUUCUAACGCAGGUAACACCAAGGGUCUGGUGACCAUCACCGAGCCCAAGUUCAGCAAGGACGCGGCGGCCCUGUCGGCGGACGAGGUGACGGCGGUGGUAGAGCUGAAGGCCACCUCGUCGACGGCCGUCCGGGAAGGGCUGGACCUGGUGGCGGUGCUGGACGUGAGCGGCAGCAUGCAGGGCGACAAGCUCCAGAGCAUGAAGAUGGCGAUGCAGUUCGUCAUCAUGAAGCUCACCCCCGUCGACCGCCUCUCCGUCGUCUCCUUCUCCGGCUCCGCCACCAGGCACUGCCCGCUCCGCUCCGUCACGCAGCAAGCGCAGGCCGACCUCAAGGCCAUCGUCGACGGCCUUGUCGCCAACGGCGGGACCAACAUCAAGGCCGGCUUGGACACCGCCCUGGCCAUCGUCGCCGGCCGGGCCACCACCAAAGCCCGCACGCCCAAUGUCUUCCUCAUGUCCGACGGCCAGCAGAGCGACGGCGACGCCAGGCAAGUCGAUCCCGGGAACGUGGCGGUCUACACGUUCGGCUUCGGCAAGGACGCCGACCACGCCCUGCUCAGCGACGUCGCCAAGAAGUCCCCCGGCGGCACGUUCAACUCGGUGCCGGACGGCGGGAACGUGAGCGCGCCCUUCUCGCAGCUCCUCGGCGGGCUCCUCACCAUCGUCGCGCAGGACGUGCAGCUCACGCUCACGCCCAAGGCGGAAGAUCCCACUGCCCCGGACCUGGACACCAUGACGGUGGCGCCAGGGACCGACUACACGCAGACCACCGACGGCGACACGGGCGUCAUCACCAUCAAGUUCGGCACCCUCUUCAGCGGCGAGACCCGCAAGGUCGCCAUCAACUUCAAGCUCCUGGAGAGCACCUUGACGACGGCGUACGACGGAUUGGUGGCGGAGGCCCAGCACAGCUACACCGUGCAGGGCAGCUUGCAGGGGCAGACCCCGCAGGACGUGGUGAUACCCCGCUCCCCGGACGCGCCCGCCGACCCGCCCACCAGCGGCAAGGCGCAGGCGGUGCUGGCGGAGAUGGCGCGUCGGCAGCACGCCGGCGCGAUCGGCGAGGCGAGGCAGAUGGCCGACGGGAAGAACCUGGAGGAGGCGCGGUACAAGCUGGCGGACGCGCAGAACGCGCUGGAGGACAUCGUGCUGAACGACGGCGAGAAGCUGGUGGGCAUGCUCCGCGCGGAGCUGCAGCAGCUGCUGGACCUGAUGGAGACGCAGGAGCUGUACGAGGCGGAGGGGCGGCCGUACGCGCUGGCCUCCGAGACGUCGCACGGCCGGCAGCGGUACGCGGCCAGGGGCGGCGACAUGGACGCCGUGCGGCUGUUCGCCACCCCGCGCAUGGACACGUACCUGGAGCAGGCCAAGAAGUUCGAGGAGGACCCCACGGCGCCGCUGCCGUCCGCCGACGACGACGCCAAGGAGGAGAUGGCCGCCAACCCGCUCGCCGCCAUCUCCGCGCCCAUCGCCUUCUACAUCAAGGUGGCCAUCCAGGCGCUGCAGGAGAUCGAGAAGCUCGUCGCCCCGCCCACCAAAUAGAAAACAAGCUACUCCAUUUCAUCACUCGGUCUACUGCUAUGUUUGUUUCAUCAAUCCAUUUACUGCUACGUUUUCCUUUCAUUUUAUCUUCAUGGUUGUAAAUUUACUUCAUCGUGAGCUGAAAUGAAUAAAGGGGCAUCUCAUCCUCGCUCUUUCCACUCACUUACCACUCGCUAGAACAAUGGUUAUUGGUUGUGAUCAUCUACAUGCCGCAGUGCUGUCAAUCGCACAUGGUCAGGGCCCGCACGGCGGCGACCAUUUAGCUAUUUUCGAAAGGUGUGGCUAGAUCUCGGUCGACUGAGAUCUCAAUCAAGUGACAUAACAUGUUAAAAAAGAAAAAAAGAAAAAAACAAAGAAGAAAAUUGCCCGGAUCUUAAUGUAAAAUAUCAAGAAUAUAGCAUCGACCGAGACAUAACAAAAUCUCCCUCGAUUGAGAUUUGGCAAGAAUAAUUUCUAUAUCAAAAAAUAACUAUUCUUCAGGUUUUCUUGUUCGAAUAAGGCCUCGGACCUAUUGAUCAAAUCAUCAAAAAUUUAUUUUACAUCAAAUAUCAACAUAUACACACCACUUUAUAAGAUAAAUAAAUUACAUCAAGGUCUUUGGUGUUCGGUCAUCUUCUUCCUCCAGAACAGGUUCAAGUACCUCGCGAUGAUAUCCAGGCUCUUCAUCGCCCACACCACUACCGUGGGAUCACUUCCCACGACCAUGAAGAUGACCAACGAGCCAGAGUUAAAGAUGUCUGUCUUGGUCAUGGCUGUCUCCUUGCCACGUGAGGAAGAGAAGAUCCAGUUACUGCUGGAGACCUUGAGGCAUGAACAUAUGUGUUCUGUCUGUUUGAAGCAUAAUAUUUUUAAGACAACGGUAUAUAAACAUAUAUAAUAUUCAUUGUUUUUCGUCUUUCUGUCCCUAUUUGUUCCUAGAAAAUUAUUACCGUUCAUUUAAAAACUAAGCCUGAUAAGAAAAAAAAUCCCUCACACAUUUAAAAACUAAGUCUUAAUAGUCAAUAUACAUUGUAGCAAACAAUGAAAAAAAAUGGUUGGACGCAAACUGUUUUAGGUCGACAAGGAAUCUAAUAUAGCUAAUAAUAAAGGGGCUAUUGCUUCUUGCGGUGCGUCAUAGAAAUUGCCCCCAGAGUUACAAAAUAUUACCCACCAAUGUCACCUAUAAGCGAUAAAAAAAAGAUCCACAUAGGGGAAUCCCUCUCCAUGCCCGGGCCAUGCACUAGGGACGUCCUAUACCGCGCUUCGCGCGCUAGAAGAAACACAACACAUCUGUUUGGGCCAACCCAUGUCCAGGCGGCCUGUUUUAAAAUUUCCUUUUUUAUUUUCCUUUUUCGUUUUCUUUUUUGUACUUUACAUAAUUUGGGACGUCAAAAAAGUUCUGAAAAUAAAAAAUGAUAAUUCUAAAUUAAAAACCUUUAGUAAAUUAGAAAAUAGUUUUGGAUUCAAAAAAGUUCACGAUUUAAUAAAAAAAAUGUUGUGCUUAUUAUACAAAUGUUAGAAAAUUUGAAAACAAAUGUUCAGGAAACGAUUUUUUAAAAAGUUUUCGUACUAAAAAGUGUUAAUGAAAUUGAACAAAAUUUCGACUAUUCCAAAAAAAAUAAUGAAUGGAAAAAUAUUCUAAAAAUUCGAAAACUGUUCAUGACUUUCAAAAUAGUUAAUUCAUUCAUAAAAUGUUCGCUGAUUCAAAAAAUGAUCAUGCAUUUCAAAAAUUGUUCAUUAAAUAAAUAAAAUGUUCAUAAAUUUCAAAAAUUGUUCCACCAAUUUCCAAAACAAUGUUCGUCCAUUCUAGAAAUGAUCGGGAAUUCAAGAAAAUUGUUAAUAUAGUGUUUACAAUUUUGUAAAAAUAUUUGCGAAAGCAUAAAAUGUUCAUGAAUUCAAACAUGUUUGAUUUUAGAAAAUGUUCGGAAAUUUGUAAAAGUUUUCAUGAAUUUGAAAAACGUUCAUGAUUUCAAAUGUGUUCACGAGUAUCAAAAAAGUUCAUGAUUUCAUGAAGUUGAGAGUGAUAGUGUAUCUCGGUGCAGCAAAAUGUGAUCAUAGCCAUUGGAGAUUAUUUUUUUGUUCUUCCGCUGCAACACUCGAGCCCUUUUGCUAGUAUUACUAAAAGACUAUAUGGCAGCCUAGAAUAGUAGCAUCUCCUUGGAUGGUGACAUGUGUUCACCUAGAUGAAUUCAGCUUCACAAUAGACAAGCAUCUCAUCUGCAAAAUUAUAUUUGUCGAAGCAUGCCAUAUGAUCAUUUUGAAAAAGUUGUGUUGGAGCUUUAGGCAACAGAAGUACUUGAGGAUGACCAUAAUAAUACCAUCUGAAAAUGACAUGGUGAACCACUUCCACUAUCUUCGACCAUCAACAUCUUUUUAGAUUUUGUGAAUAUCAUACAUAAAAGUGUAUCUCAAAAAUUAAUUUUAUGAACUAAUAAUUUCACCAGGCAUAGUAAUUGUACAAGAAUUAAUGGUCAAACUUACGUUUGAAAGAUGCGUUAAAGCAUGACUCUCGGGGCUUGAUCAGUUCCUAAUCCCUGAAUGAUUUUGAAAAAAUUGUAGGUUACCGAAAAUACUUUUUGCAAACUGUCUCGGUGAGCCACUUCCAACAUGUUUGACCAUCAAUAUCUUCAUAGACUAGAUGUGUGAAGAUCAAACAUAUGUGUUUGUCUUGGAAAAUAUCUUCAUAAUAUACUAAUUUAAUUAUUUAUUAUUUUGUAUUUGUUAGUCAUUAAUAGUCAAAGUUACAUCUCGAAGACCGUGCCAAUAUACAAAUUCAUCCGUUAUAGAUGGGGGGUGAUAACUUAUGAUAUUUGUUUUGACUUGGCUCAACUAGAAGAAAACCGUUUCCCCAACUUAGAACAACCAAGCCACUCAUAAAAAUAGUAUAUGCAUUAGUGCAUGCCUAUUAGGACUUGCUAAAUGAUUAAUCUCUAAUUUCUUUGACAAAAUCUCCAGCUGUGUUGUGUUGAAUCUCUAAACGAACUCAAGUUUGACAAUGAAAAUGCGUUAAGAAACAAGUGUGGAGAGACACCCCCAACAUAUUUUACCAUCAGUACUUUUUAGAUGGACAUGUGAACAUUGUAUGACUAUAUUGGUUCCAAAAUUUAUUUCAAGUAUAUUUCUAAUAAGUUAUCAUUUUUUCCAUUUUAUUAGAAUAUUCUUAUAUAUAUAUAUAUAUAUAAUCUCUUUGACAAAAUCUUCCCUUGUGUCAUUUAGAAAUGUACUUAAUCUCUAAUCUCUUUCAGAAAAUUUCUGUGUCGUGUUGAAUCUCUAAACGACACUCAAGGUUGACAAUGAAAACGCGUUAAGAAACAAGUGUGGCAAGAAACAUCCAAUAUAUUUCACCAUCAGUAUUUUUUUACAUCGGACAUGUGAACAUUGUAUGACUAUAUUGGUUCCAAUUGUUUUAAGUAUAUUUCUAAUAAGUUAUCAUUUUUGCAUGUGAUAAGAAUAUAAUGAUUAAAAAGUUCUGGAGAUUGUAUUAUAUAGCUUUCUAUAUGGAUUUUUUAUUCAGAGUGUAUUAUAUAGCUUUCUAUAUGAAUUUUUAUUUCAUUGACCUGUCCAUACUUGGAAACCAAUGAAUGGUCAGUUAUAUUAUGAGCAGUCAAUGUGGGACAGAUGGACUUACAAAAAAUUCUGGUUACAUUUCAUAUUGCCUCCAUGUGCUUACUACUAUAAUCUUAUGGAUAUGAUUAACUCAUAUCCCUGUGGCCCUCUUGCACCUGCACAUUUUAAUGAAUAGAAGUUGGAAUAUUUUAAAUUGGAAUGUCAGGGGUAUAAACUCUCAAACCAGAUGGGAUGAUUUAAGAGCUAGAAUUGAGGAAAGUAAUUGUGGUGUUAUUUGUAUUCAAGAAACAAAAAGAGAAGCAUUUGACCAGGCUUAUCUCAGAAAUUUUUCACCUAGAAGAUUCAACCAAUUUGCAUAUAAUCCUGCAAUUGGUCUGUCAGGUGGACUUAUUACUAUAUGGAAUGGCAGUUUAUUCAGUGGAAAUGCCAUCAGUCAAUCAUCCUACCAAAUCAUUGUCAAGUUAACAUGUAAUCUUUCUGGUCAUAUUUUUUAUAUCAGUAAUAUAUAUGGGCCCUGUUAGAAUGAAGACAGAGUGGAUUUUUUUGAAUGGCUAAACAAUAUUGAUGCAUCACAGAUGGACCACUGGAUGUUGGCUGGUGAUUUUAAUUUAAUAAGAAGCCCUGAUGACAGAAAUAGACCUGGAGGAGACACAAAUAAUAUGCUCAUGUUUAACAGCCUACUCCAACAAUUAGAUCUUGUGGAGAUCCCUCUUAAAGGUAGAAAUUUCACUUUGAGCAAUAUGCAAGAGUACCCUUUAUUGGAAAAACUGGAUUGGAUAUUUACUUCUGCAAAUUGGACACUAUCUUUCCCUAACACCCUGGCUCAUCCACUCACCAGAGUUACAUCAAAUCAUGUUCCUAUACACAUUCGGAUUGGAAGUGAUGUUCCUAAAUCCUCCAUAUUCAGGUUUGAAAACUAUUGGUUUGAAUUUGAUGGCUUUUAUUAAACUGUCAUACAAUGCUGGAAUAAAAACCAUCAGUUGAUAAACUCUGCUCAAGAUGUUGCUUCCAGAUUCAAAUGCCUUAGAAUGAGACUCAAAAAAUGGAGUAAGAACUUGUCCAAGCUCAACACUGACAUCUCUGCUUGUAAUUAUGUUUUAUCUAUGCUGGAUGGCAUUGAAGAUCAAAGAAUACUCAGCACUAUGGAAGCCAACUUUAGGAUUAUAUUGAGGAGGCAUAUAUCUAAAUUAUUGGAAGUGAAAAGAAUUUAUUGGAAAACAAGAUUCAAAAUGAGAUGUGUGAAACUUGAUGAUGAAAAUAUUGAUUUCUUCCAUGCAAUGGCUACCCAAAGUUACAGAAAAAACUUCAUUACUUCUAUCAAUGAUGAUGAUGGAAAUCCUGUCCAAAACCAUGAUCACAAGGUUGCUAUCAUCUGGAAAUCUUUCAAAGACAGAUUGGGUAAAUCAAUUGAUCCUCAUAUGCUCUUUAAUCUGGAGGAACUUAUCCAGCCUUCUGACCUUUCUGAACUGGAAGCCCCUUUCACUAUGGAGGAUAUUGACCAGGUGAUUAAUGAUAUUCCAUCUGAUAGAGCACCUGGACCAGAUGGAUUCAAUGGUGCUUUCCUAAAAAAAAUGUUGGGAUAUUAUUAAACAAGAUAUUUACACAAUGAUAUGGGAUUUUUUUGAAGGAAACUGUGACAUUCAGAGUAUCAACAUUGCCUUCAUUACUCUUAUUCCAAAAAUUACAAAUCCCCUCAAUAUGAAUGAUUUUAGGCUAUCUCCCUGGUCAGUCUUCCUUUGAAAAUUAUUACUAAGCUUAUGGCUAACAGAGCUCAGAGAAUUAUUACAUCAGUUAUUCAUCAGAACCAAUAUGGGUUUAUCAAAGGUAGAAAUAUACAAGAUUGUUUGGGAUAUGCCUUUGAAUAUCUCCAUCUAUGCCAUCAAUCUAAAAAACCUAUCAUCAUUUUAAAGUUAGAUUUUGAAAAGGCAUUUGAUAAGGUGGAAUACAAAACCAUUAUUGCCAUGCUCAGAGCUAAAGGUUUUGGACCUAGAUGGAUCAAUUGGGUACACAAUAUUCUUCAAUCUGCAUCUACUUCUGUCUUACUUAAUGGAGUGGCUGAGAAAAAAUCAUCUGUAAGAGAGGGGUCAGACAAGGGGAUCCUCAUUCCCCUUUAUUAUAUGUUAUUACUGCUGAUCUUCUUCAAACAGUUAUUAAUGCAGCCUGGUCAAAUGAUGAAUUAUCUCUUCCUAUAAAUCAUGCAUAUGGUCAAGAUUAUCCAAUCAUCCAGUAUGCUGACGAUACCCUGUUGAUUAUGCCUGCUAAUGAAGAUCAGAUUAUCCACCUCAAAUACCUUCUGAAUCUUUUCAGUGUGUCCACGGGUCUUUUUGUUAAUUUUAAUAAAUCCUCCAUGAUUCCCAUCAAUGUAAAUCAUCAAGAGGUCACCAGACUUGCCACAUCAUUCGGAUGCAAGGUGGAGAGCCUACCAUUCACUUAUCUAGGUUUACCCAUGGGCACCACAAAACCAUCAGUUCAGGAUCUCAUCCCUGUCAUAUCUAGAAUUGAGAAAAGAUUAUCUGGGGUUGCUAGAUUCAUGAAUUAUUCUGGUAGACUUACCUAUAUAAAUUCAGUGGUUGCUUCAAUGCCAAUAUUUGCUAUGUGCUCUCUCAAAGUACAUAUUGCCAUCCUAGAUCAUGUUGGUAAAACAAGCAGAAACUUCUUAUGGUAUGGGAAGGAUAUUAAUAAAGGAGGCAAAUGUUUGGCAAGCUGGCAGAUGAUAUGUAAGCCAAAAAAUCAAGGGGGUCUUGGAGUUCUAAAUUUGAGAGAACAAAACAAAGCUCUACUUAUUAAGCAUCUUUACAAAUUUUACAACAAGAUGGAUGUACCUUGGAUCAAAUUAAUUUGGGAGGCCCAUUAUCAGAAUAAUGAAGUCCCUCAUUUCAACAGGAACAAAGGCUUUUUUGGUGGAGAGAUUGCAUGAAAAUGUAUGAUUAUUUCAGAGAUAUGACAACUUGUGAUAUUAAAUCUGGUGACACCAAUAUGCUUUGGGAGGAUAAAUGGAAUGGUGAUAUUAUGAAGCUAAAGUUUCCUGAGCUACACUCCUUCACUUAUAAGGAAAAUAUAUCUAUUAAAGAUGCCAAGGACAUGGAUAAUCUGUAUGGUUUAUUUCAACUACCCCUAUCCAUUCAAGCACAUCAGCAAUUUCAUCAGCUUUCUGGUGAAUUAAAUGCCAUCAGAGACAACCAGGAUCAUGACAUUUGGAAUUUCAAUUGGAGCAACAAUAAAAACAUGACAAAGAUGAUAUAUCAAUUUCUUAUGAAGGGUGAAUAUGCUGAUGAUACUUUUAAAUGGAUAUGGAAAUCAUGUUGCCUUCCUAAACACAAAUUUUUCUGCUGGCUUAUGCUUAAUGACAGGAUAAACACAUGUGAUCUCUUAACUAGGAAGAGCAUGCAUAUUGAUUCCACUACAUGUGUGUUGUGUAAUGCUGAAGACAUGGAAGAUAGAAUGCACCUCCUCUUCACUUGUCCAUUUAGUCAAGGUUUUUGGUGGGAUAUUGGAUUUGAAUGGAAUUCAGACUUGGAUAUUCACAGAAUGAUCAUGGAUGCCAACCACAGAUACAAAAUCAAACAUUUUAUGGAAAUUAUGAUAGUGGGUUGCUGGAGUAUUUGGAACCAGAUAAAUGGGAUGAUAUUUGAGGGGAUACCAUGCUCAAUUAAUGAAUGCAAAUAUGAUUUCAUCAGAUCUUUCAAGAUUACCAUUGAUGAGAGCCAAGCCAUCUCUGAAUGAUGGCAUGUCAUCCUGGAUUGACAACAUUUAAAUUUAAUAAUUUAGAUUUACCUUUUUCUUACCAUUUACAUUUAUGUUGUAAUCCUCUCAUCUUUGGUUGUUUCCCCAACAACCACUGUAAGACAUUACAUUCUAUUUCUCCUUCAUUAAUGAAAAAUGACACACAGCAGGGUUGUUGCCCUACUGUUCUUUGUUCAAAAAAAAACUUGGAAACCAAACAUGAACUAAAUUUCAGUGAGUGAAAUCGCCGGGAGAUUUAUUUUAGCAAAAUAUAUGACAUUGCCUGCUCAUAUAGUUCAGUAAUUUAGUAUUUGAGCCCACAUGUUAUGGAUGUACAUCAUUUUGUUUUCGACUAAUCGAGUAACUAUAACUUUACAAAAAAAAUAUGUCAUUAAAUUUUAGUCUAAGGAAUAUUUUAUAGGAAUAUUAAUUUAUUAGAUAAUAAAAAGUAUUCUAAAACUUAUAGUUCCCAUGUUUGUUUCCAUGCGACAUGGACAUUAUUGAUUAUUCAUGUAUAUUUCAUAUAAGAAUCACAUGUCAUAUAGAAGUUGACCAAAAUCAAAGGAAUUAAACAAAAUAUGCAUUUUUCCUUCAUAUCAUAAAAUCAUAUGUCUAUAUGAUAAAGCACAUUACGAUAAAAGAAAUGAUAUGCUCGAAUUCUCACAAAAAAUGCAAAUUAUUGUCAUGUGUGGUGUUGAAAAAUUGCAUAAAAAAUUCCCAACUUAAAAAAUAUGGUUGUUAAUAUGGUUUCUUUUUCCACAAUGAUGUGACUCCAUCCAUUUCCUAUGAGUUUAUACUAAAAGAAGAUGGAAGUCAAAAGGGGGAGAGAGACAUAAGUUACAAAUUCUCACAAAAUAAAAAUAUUUGACCUUUAAUUUGGUAAAUCUUUUAUUAAGUAAAGGCUGCAAACCCAUAAUUUUUCAUAUGUCAGUAACAAUAUGCAAACUCACAGUGCCAGCAUUGUAAUCAUGCAUAGUCUAUUCAAUGUUAUGCAGUCAAAUAUAUGUGUGUUUUAUUAAAACAAUGUUAGUUUCCCUUGACUUUCUAUUUAGUUAGUUAGUAUUCAGCCGUCAUGUGGCUUCGGCAUUGAAUAUGUACUCAUAGUUUCACCUCAACAGAUCAAAUGGUAGAUAAAGUGCUCAAAAUCUAACAACAUAUACAUCUUCAAGAUUAUACAUAAAAUAUUUUCUAUGAAUAUAAAAAUAAACAAAUUGAACAUAUUAAAAAAAUGAAACUUCAUUUUUGGGUCAUAAUAUCUGAAUUUUUUUCAACUAACUAUUUUUAAGUGAAAGUACUAAAACUCACUGCAUAAUAAAUUGUAGCGUGGUAUGACAUUAGGUUCAGAUUGUUCAUGUUUCAAUGCAGAUGUGGAAAGAGAACUAUUGGAUUUUUGUUUAUAAAAAAAUACAUUAUAAUGCAUCAUGGCAAAAAUGGCGCAAAAUUUGGUACAAAUACAGUUUGCGCAAUGCAACUGGUCAUAAAAAUAGAGUUAGUACAACAAGCAUAAUAAGAAGGUAAAAUAUAAAUUGAUGACAUAUAUAAAUAAAAACCAAACACGCCUAAGACAAAAUUAUGUUCACGAAGUGUUGUAUUUGCAAAUCUCACUACAUUUGGUUCCCAUUUUUAUCUAGAAAAAACAAAUAAUAUAUUAUCACUAUUAAACUUUUAAAUUUCUAGCAUGCGCAUCAAGGUGGGCACUUUGCUAAUUCUCUAAAAAAGAAAAUACUGAUCAAUAUUAUUCAUCCAGACAUAAGCUACAAGAAAGAUUACCAGGUACACUAACCAGGUUCAUUUCUAUAGUUCUUUUAUAUUCAGCAUUCCUGACAACUAAUUUCUUAUCAGAACCACACAGCUCGGUGAGCCUCUUGGCUAGGUGAUCGUCAAUAGCUUUAUUCCUGGUGUUAAUGGGGAAAGGCAUCGUCUCAUUUUUUUUAUAAAAUCCUCCAGAAUCCAAGAAAUAAGUACAGAAGGGAAUUAAAAGGCUUGUCAAAUAUAAUGCAGGUGUCUAAAUCAGGAAAGGAGUCCGGGAAAUUUAAUAGCCCUGCAUCGAGCAUAAAGCAUAGUACUACCUAAGUGUCUAUUUGUACGAUUCUCUUAGUGGUGCUCCCAAAAUAUUCAUGCCUAGAGAUAGAUGUUAGUAUUUUCUAUAAUAGUCCAUUGUGUUAUUCUUGGUAGAGUACAAUGUCACAGCUCAUUCAUCCCUACCUAAGAUAAUGUAACCACUCACCUGGUAGAAAUUUGUGCAUAGCAGUACGCAAUUGGGUCCCAACCAGUGCUAGUUGAUCUUUUAAGGGUCCAUUAGAAGAUGUUUAGCGACUGAAGAGAGUGCAUAAAAUGGCACUAAAACCAUGGCGAUGGGUAUGCACAUAGCUUGUAGAGAGACAAUGUUGCAUGCCUUAUUGCCUAGAUCAAGCGUGGAAGUUUCUUAUUUUAGGAUUUCAGGAGGUUAUCACGCAGUAGAUCAAGCGCGGCGUGGUGUUUCUCUAGGGCAUGUGUUGUGCGCUGCUGUUGCAACUACUACUUUGGGCCUGUCCAGUACAGAUCUCAGCACAUACCUGCGGCCUCCUUGGUUUCGCCCCCCCUCAGGGCCGGGAUUGUAGCUUUUGGAAGUUUCUAUGGACACUGUCACUUCCAUUGUGCAUUCAAGUCACAUGGUAUAUCAAGAUUUUCCAUGUUUUUAAUAAGUUUUAGCAAGUUCUAAUAGAAAAAUUCAGAAGUUCCAACUAAACCAAGAACUAUUUUAGGUCGUGUACCUUAAUUAAGUAGAUUGUUAGUUCUACAAUGGUGGUAACCAAUGCGGUUACCACCAUGGAGAAUGAAGGGAUUAUAGUGGUUGACUUCUAGCCUGCUUUUGAUAGCGAUUUGCACCGGUUGAUAAGGUGUCAUGACAUCAAAUAUCUCGAUGUGGCGAUACUCUGCCACCACUCGAUGUACACCUGUUUUCUUAGACUUCUGUCGAAUGGUAACCAUGACCACCUUGGUUUCCCUGAUAGCUGCCGGAGUUACCGCGUUGAUCUCCACCGGUGUCAUCCGGACGAUCUCCUUAGUGAUGUCGCACCGGAAGACACCACAAUCUGUUUGAACCAUACCUGAGGGGAGGGUCAUGUUGAUAUCUCUGUGGAAGAAGACGAUGUUCUCGCUGCCCCACAUGGGCCAAACACCAUCCCUGAUGAAGACCUUGCGCCGCAGGCCACCUUGUGCCCUUCUGUCCAUGUUCAUGACUACAGUGUCAGUCUUCAGGUGCUCAAUCUCGCCGGUCCACGUGUUCCAUCCAAAUUUGACCACCGCCACCAUCUUCACAGACGGUGACACCACGGGGCUCAGAUCAUAUUGAUCUGUAGGAAUCACUAGUGCAGAACCAUGCUAUAGCACCGGUUUGUAAUGGCCUUUAGUGCCAGUUCUGCAACCAGCACUAAAGGGUGGGGACUAAAGGUCCCCCCCCCCUUUAGUACCGGUUCGGCACGAACCGCCACCAAAGUGCCACCACGUGGCACGAGCCAGGGCCAGGUGAGGGGUGACCUUUAGUACCGGUUGGUAACACAACCUGUACUAAAUGUUUGGGGGGUUUUGGUUUUAUUUCCCUUUAGUUUUGUGUUUUCAAUUUAAUUUAGAGAUUGUUUUUACAUUAUAAUGAGUUGUUAAAUCAUUAGGUGAAAGUACCGUAGAUUAGUUUCAACUGGAUGCAUGCAUGGAUCCUAGCUAAGUGAUCAAAGUAUAUAUGCCAUAUCCAUAUUACUUGAUCACUUAUAUAUUAGGUGAGCAAGUAAUAUGGAUAUGGCAUAUACUUGAUCACUUAGCUAGCUAGGAUCCAUCCAGUUGAAACUAAUAUGCGGUUUCUUUCAUAAAUGAUAUAAUAACUCAUCAUCAUCAUAUUAAUAUAAAAACUAUUGCAUAUUAUAUAUAUCAUCACAAACAAGUUAACGGUAUACUAGCUAGCUAAAAAUUAUUAUAGUCGUCAUUACCACUAUUUAAUCAUCAUAGUCAUUACCGCUAUCUAAUCACCACCAAUACCAGCUUAAAGAAGAAACAUUCACUUGUACCAGAAGGAAAGAUAUCAUCGAGUUCAACAUGAUCACUCUUUGAGAUUAAGUUCAGGACGAAGAACACAGACAUGAGAGGACAAGUACUAAGAGCAUUGUAAUCACUCAUGUUGCUCUCUCUCAGGUAAAAUAGCAUAGAACAUGUAUAGCUCUCCUGAUUCAUCAUAUUGGAGCAUGUAGAUGAACCUGUCUCCUAAUCAUGGGCUACGAUUCUGAUUGAUGCCCCCUAGUACUUCUCUGUGAUCAUGGACAAUUUUGCUCCAGUCUUUCACUAUUAAGCAUUCCUUGCUAUUAGAAAUCAUGAAUGCACUAAAGUGCAUUGUAGGAUGUCUUGGCCGUAAGCUAACUAUUCUCAUGCGACCUUUAGUCUCGAUCCACUGAGGCACAACAUUCAUCAGGAGUCCCUGUUGAAGAACAUCGUAUAGUAACAUACUUAGCAAUGAAGUUUAGCUUAAAAAAUAAUGUAUGCAAAAGAUGCACUGAGGAAAAAUAGUAAAAAUCUUACCAUCUUUCCUAGAUAGAUGUGACCAUAGUUCAAUACGAUCAUUAUUGGUCGCACGUUUUGAGUACUAAGAUUUUCAAAUUCAGGAAAAUAAUUUCUCUUGAUAGCAUCAAGAUCCUCAAGCCAUGAAACAUAAUGACUUAUCUCCUCACAGUUUAGUUCAGCCCUGGGAUAGUGGACGGUCCUGUCUACCAAGCGAUGGACAUGUUUGCUUGAAUGGAAAUAAGUUGUCAAUAGAAAUUAGUUGUCAACUAUUUUUUGAAAAAAAACAAUAUCAAAGACAUAAAUAUGCAUGGUUGAGAAACUCACAUAAUGGUAGAACUGGAGGCGUCUGCACAUCGACCCAAGUGUCUCUAUUACCUUCAAUAUCAUCUUUGGGACGAAUAUCAAAGGUGAUAAACAUAUCAGGCUCAAAUGUAUAAGUCUUGCAUAGUGCUUGCCAAGUUUUGCAUUCAAAAUGGGUGUAGGUGUCUUGAUUGUAUAAUUUGAAGUUGAAGGUAUAAUCAUGCUUGGUCUUCAAGUAAACUCUUUUUACCUCCAUAGUUUUGUUUAGACUGAAACCUAUCUUAUCCAAGACAAAAAUUCUUGCAUGGCAGGGGAUGCGCUAGUAGACUAGUGAAAAUUAAAAUAAUAAGUUGAAGCAACUGAAGCAUAUAUAAGUCAUGCUUAAUUACGAAAAAAUACUUGUCGUUGUGACUUACUGUAUCCACUUUGAAGGUCUCAUCCAGCUUAAUGCUAAAGCGUCUAUCAUCAACUAGGAAAUUUUUGUCGCACAGGCCACGUUGGUCUUCAUAGUCUUCGCACAUAAUGAAAUCGUUUUCGUCGUCAGACAACAUUUCCUAUGUUCAUAGGUGAAACAUUAAACACUUAUUAGUUAUAUUAAUCCAAUUAAACUAGUUCUAUUAAUUCAACUAGGUAGUUCAACUAAUCAAUUCAACUAAGCACUUACUAAAAAUAUACCUAAAUAAAAUAUAGCUCCUAAUUCAACUAAUUCAGCUAACUAGUUCAACUAAUUCAACUAAACUAGUUCUAUUAAUUUUCUUACUAAAAAUAAAGUAGCUAGUUCUAUAUACUAAAAUUUUAAAUAGAUGAUCAAAUCUCAUAUACCUAAAUUUAUUAUAUAUUAAUUCAUCUAACACUAAUAUAAAUUCAUCUAUAACUAAAAGUAUAAAAAACUAACUCAUCUAACAUUAUCUAAUUCUUAUAUAAUCUAACAUUUUUACAUUAAAUAUUUGUGUGUGUGUGUGCAUGUGUGUGCGUGUGUGCAUAUGUGUGCACAGGAUGCCGCCGGUGAGCGGUAGGGGGCCGGCCGGGGCACGCGAUCNNNNNNNNNNNNNNNNNNNNNNNNNNNNNNNNNNNNNNNNNNNNNNNNNNNNNNNNNNNNNNNNNNNNNNNNNNNNNNNNNNNNNNNNNNNNNNNNNNNNNNNNNNNNNNNNNNNNNNNNNNNNNNNNNNNNNNNNNNNNNNNNNNNNNNNNNNNNNNNNNNNNNNNNNNNNNNNNNNNNNNNNNNNNAUGCCCUAUAGGCAAUAAUAAAGUUAUUAUUUAUUUCCUCAUAUAAUGAUAAAUGUUUAUUAUUCAUGCUAGAAUUGUAUUAACCGGAAACAUAAUACAUGUGUGAAUACAUAUACAAACUUAAUGUCACUAGUAUGCCUCUACUUGACUAUCUCAUUAAUCAAAGAUGGUUAUGUUUCCUAACCAUAGACAUGUGUUGUCAUUUGAUUGAAGAGAUCACAUCAUUAGGAGAAUGAUGUGAUUGACUUGACCCAUUCCGCUAGCCUAGCACUUGAUCGUUUAGUAUGUUGCUAUUGCUUUCUUCAUGACUUAUAUAAAGUUCCUACAACUAUGAGAUUAUGCAACUCCCGUUUACCAGAGGAACACAUUGUGUGCUACCAAACGUCACAACGUAACUGGGUGAUUAUAAAGGAGCUCUACAGGUGUCUCCAAAGGUAGAUGUUGAGUUGGCGUAUUUCGAGAUUAGGUUUUGUCACUCCGAUUGUCGGAGAGGUAUCUCUGGGCCCUCUCGGUAAUGCACAUCACUAUAAGCCUUGCAAGCAAUGUGCCAAUGAGUUGGUUAUGGAAUGAUGCAUUACGUAACGAGUAAAGAGACUUGCCGGUAACGAGAUUGAACUAGGUAUUGGAUACCGACGAUCGAAUCUCGGGCAAGUAACAUACCGAUGACAAAAAGGAACAACAUAUGUUGUUAUGCGGUUUGACCGAUAAAGAUCUUCGCAGAAUAUGUAGGAGCCCAUAUGAGCAUCCAUGUUCCGCUAUUGGUUAUUGACCGGAAACAGUUCUAGGUCAUGUCUACAUAGUUCUCGAACCCGCAAGGUCCGCACGCUUAACAUUACGAUGACAGUUUUAUUAUGAGUUUAUAAGUUUUGAUGUACUGAAGGUUGUUCGGAGUCCCGGAUGUGAUCACGGACAUGACGAGGAGUCUCGAAAUGGUCGAGACAUAAAGAUUGAUAUAUUGGAAGCCUAUAUUUGGAUAUCGGAAUCGUUCCGGGUGAAAUCGGGAUUUUACCGGAGUACCGGGGGGUUACCGGAACCCCCCCGGGGGUUAAUGGGCCUACAUGGGCCGUAAGGGAGAAGAGGAGGGCCGGCCAGGGCAGGCCGCGCACCCCCUCCCCCCCAUAGUCUGAAUAGGACAAGGAAGGGGGGGGGGCGCCCCCCUUUCCUCUUUCCCCCUUCCCCCUUCCUUCUCCAACAAGGCAAGAGGGGGAAGUCCUACUCCCGGGGAGUAGGACUUCUCCAGGCGCACUCCUAGGGGGCCGGCCGCACCUCCCCCUCCCUCCUUUAUAUACGGGGGCAGGGGGCACCUCUAGACACACAAGUUGAUCUUCGUGAUCGUUCCUUAGCCGUGUGCGGUGCCCCCCUCCACCAUAUUCCACCUCGAUCAUAUCGUUGCGGUGCUUAGGCGAAGCCCUGCGUCGGUAGAACAUCAUCAUCGUCACCACGCCGUCAUGCUGAUGGAACUCAUCCCCGACACCCUGCUGGAUCGGAGUCCGGGGAUCGUCAUCGAGCUGAACGUGUGCUAAACUCGGAGGUGCCGUACGUUCGGUGCUUGGAUCGGUCGGAUCGAGAAUACGUACGACUACAUCAACCGCGUUGUCAUAAUGCUUCCGCUUUCGGUCUACAAGGGUAUGUGGACACACUCUUCCCUCUCGUUGCUAUGCAUCACCAUGAUCUUGCGUGUGCGUAGGAAUUUUUUUGAAAUUACUACGUUCCCCAACAGUGGCAUCCGAGCCAGGUUUUAUGCGUAGAUGUUAUAUGCACGAGUAGAACACAAGUGAGUUGUGGGCAAUACACGUCAUACUGCUUACCAGCAUAUCAUAUUUUGGUUCAGCGGUAUUGUUGGAUGAAGCGGCCCGGACCGACAUUACGCGUAUGCUUACGCGAGACUGGUUUUACCGCCGUGCUUCGCACGCAGGUGACUAGCGGGUGUCUAUUUCUCCAACUUUAGUUGAACCAAGUGUGGCUACGCCCGGUCCUUGAGAAGUUUAAAACAACACUAACUUGACGAACUAUCGUUGUGGUUUUGAUGCGUAGGUAAGAACGGUUCUUGCUCAGCCCAUAGCAGCCACGUAAAAUUUGCAACAACAAAGUAGAGGACGUCUAACUUGUUUUUGCAGGGCAUGUUGUGAUGUGAUAUGGUCAAGACGUGAUGCUAUAUUUUAUUGUAUGAGAUGAUCAUGUUUUGUAACCGAAGUUAUCGGCAACUGGCAGGAGCCAUAUGGUUGUCGCUUUAUUGUAUGAAAUGCAAACGCCCUGUAAUUGCUUUACUUUAUCACUAAGCGGUAGCGACAGUCGUAGAAGCAAUAGAUGGCAUAACGACAACGAUGCUACGAUGGAGAUCAAGGUGUCGCACCGGUGACGAUGGUGAUCACGACGGUGCUUCGGAGAUGGAGAUCACAAGCACAAGAUGAUGAUGGCCAUAUCAUAUCACUUAUAUUGAUUGCAUGUGAUGUUUAUGCUUUAUGCAUCUUAUCUUGCUUUGAUUGACGGUAGCAUUUUAAGAUGAUCUCUAAAUUAUCAAGAAGUGUUCUCCCUGAGUAUGCACCGUUGCAAAAGUUCUUCGUGCUGAGACACCACGUGAUGAUCGGGUGUGAUAGGCUCUACAUUCAAAUACAACAGGUGCAAAACAGUUGCACACGCGGAAUACUCAGGUUAAACUUGACGAGCCUAGCAUAUACAGAUAUGGCCUCGGAACAUGGAGACCGAAAGGUCGAACGUGAAUCGUAUAGUAGAUAUGAUCAACAUAGUGAUGUUCACCAUUGAAACUACUCCAUCUCACGUGAUGAUCGGACAUGGUUAGAGAGAUGUCUGUCUAAGUGGGAGUUCUUAAGUAAUAUGAUUAAUUGAACUUAAAUUUAUCAUGAACUUAGUACCUGAUAGUAUUUUGCUUGUCUAUGUUUGUUGUAGAUAGAUGGCUCGUGUUGUUGUUCCGUUGAAUUUUAAUGCAUUCCUUGAGAAAGCUAAGUUGAAAGAUGAUGGUAGCAAUUACACGGACUGGGUCCAUAACCUGAGGAUUAUCCUCAUUGCUGCACAGAAAAAUUACGUCCUGGAAGAACCACUGGGUGCCAGGCCUGCUACAGAUGCAACUGACGACGUUAAGAACGUCUGGCAGAGCAAAGCUGAUGACUACUCGAUAGUUCAGUGUGCCAUACUUUACGGCUUGGAACCAGGUCUUCAACGACGUUUCGAACGUCAUGGAGCAUAUGAGAUGUUCCAGGAGUUGAAGUUAAUAUUUCAAGCAAAUGCCCGGAUUGAGAGAUAUGAAGUCUCCAAUAAGUUCUAUAGCUGUAAGAUGGAGGAGAAUAGUUCUGUCAGUGAACACAUACUCAAAAUGUCUGGGUAUAAUAAACACUUGAUUCAACUGGGAGUUAAUCUUCCUGAUGAUAGUGUCAUUGAUAGAAUUCUUCAAUCACUGCCACCAAGCUACAAGAGCUUCGUGAUGAACUAUAAUAUGCAAGGGAUGAACAAGACUACUCCCGAGCUCUUCGCAAUGCUAAAUGGUGCGGAGGUAGAAAUCAAGAAGGAGCAUCAAGUGUUGAUGGUCAAUAAGACCACCAGUUUCAAGAAAAAGGGCAAGGGGAAGAAGAAGGGGAACUUCAAGAAGAACAGCAAACAAGUUACUGCUCAAGAGAAGAAACCCAAGUCUAGACCUAAGACUGAGAUUGAGUGCUUCUACUGCAAGCAGACUGGACACUGGAAGCGGAACUGCCCCAAGUAUUUGGCGGAUAAGAAGGAUGGCAAAGUGAACAAAGGUAUAUGUGAUAUACAUGUUAUUGAUGUGUACCUUACUAAUGCUCACAGUAGUACCUGGGUAUUUGAUACUGGUUUCGUUGCUAAUAUUUGCAACUCGAAAUAGGACUACGGAUUAGGCGAAGAUUGGCUAAGGACGAGAUGAUGAUGCGCGUGAGAAAUGGUUCCAAAGUCAAUGUGAUCGCGGUCGGCACGCUACCUCUACAUCUACCAUCGGGAUUAGUUUUAGACCUAAAUAAUUGUUAUUUGGUGCCAGCGUUGAGCAUGAACAUUAUAUCUCGAUCAUGUUUGAUGUGACACGAUUAUUCAUUUAAAUCAGAGAAUAAUGGUUGUUCUAUUUAUAUGAGUAAUAUCUUUUAUGGUCAUGCACACUUACAGAGUGGUCUAUUUUUAUUAAAUCUCGAUAGUAGUGAUACACAUAUUCAUAAUGUUGAAGCCAAAAGAUGCAGAGUUGAUAAUGAUAGUGCAACUUAUUUGUGGCACUGCCGUUUAGGUCAUAUCGAUGUAAAGCGCAUGAGGAAACUCCAUACUGAUGGACUUUUGGAAUCACUUGAUUAUGAAUCACUUGAUACUUGCGAACCGUGCCUCAUGGGCAAGAUGACUAAAACACCGUUCUCCGGAACUAUGGAGCGAGCAACUGAUUUGUUGGAAAUCAUACAUACUGAUGUAUAUGGUCCAAUGAAUAUUGAGGCUCGCGGCGGGUAUCGUUAUUUUCUCACCUUCACAGAUGAUUUGAGCAGAUAUGGGUAUAUCUACUUUAUGAAACACAAAUCUGAAACAUUUGAAAAGUUCAAAGAAUUUCAGAGUGAAGUAGAAAAUCACCGUAACAAGAAAAUAAAAUUUCUAUGAUCUGAUCGUGGAGGAGAAUAUUUGAGUUACGAGUUUGGUUUACAUUUGAAACAAUGUGGAAUAGUUUCGCAACUCACGCCACGCGGAACACCACAACGAAAUGGUGUGUCCGAACGUCGUAAUCGUAUUUUACUGGAUAUGGUGCGAUCUAUGAUGUCUCUUACUGAUUUACCGCUAUCUUUUUGGGGUUAUGCUUUAGAGACGGCCGCAUUCACGUUAAAUAGGGCACCAUCAAAAUCCGUUGAGACGACGCUUUAUGAACUGUGGUUUGGCAAGAAACCAAAGUUGUCGUUUCUUAAAGUUUGGGGCUGCGAUGCUUAUGUGAAGAAACUUCAACCAGAUAAGCUCGAACCCAAAUCGGAGAAAUGUGUCUUCAUAGGAUACCCAAAAGAGACUAUUGGGUACACCUUCUAUCACAGAUCUGAGGGCAAGAUUUCCAUUGCUAAAUUCGGAUCCUUUCUAGAGAAGGAGUUUCUCUCGAAAGAAGUGAGUGGGAGGAAAGUAGAACUUGACGAGGUAACUAUACCUGCUCCCUUAUUGGAAAGUAGUUCAUCACAAGAACCAGUUCCUAUGACAACUGCACCAAUUAGUGAGGAAGCUAAUGAUAUUGAUCAUGAAACUUCAGAUCAAGUUUCUAUUGAACCUCGUAGGUCUACCAGAGUAAGAUCCGCACCAGAGUGGUACGGUAAUCCUAUUCUGGAAGUGAUGUUACUUGACCAUGGCGAACCUACGAACUAUGAGGAAGCGAUGAUGAGCCCAGAUUCCGCAAAAUGGCUUGAAGCCAUGAAAUCUGAGAUAGGAUCCAUGUAUGAGAACAAAGUAUGGACUUUGGUUGACUUGCCCGAUGAUCGGCAAGCCAUUGAGAAUAAAUGGAUCUUCAAGAAGAAGACUGACGCUGAUGAUAAUAUAACUGUCUACAAAGCUUGACUUGUUGCAAAAGGUUUUCGACAAGUUCAAGGGGUUGACUACGAUGAGACUUUCUCACCCGUAGCGAUGCUUAAGUCUGUCCGAAUCAUGUUAGCAAUUGCCGCAUUUUAUGAUUAUGAAAUUUGGCAAAUGGAUGUAAAAACUGCAUUCCUGAAUGGAUUUCUGGAAGAAGAGUUGUAUAUGAUGCAACCGGAAGGUUUUGUCGAUCCAGAAGGUGCUAACAAAGUGUGCAAGCUCCAGCGAUCCAUUUAUGGACUGGUGCAAGCAUCUUGGAGUUGGAAUAAACGCUUUGAUAGUGUGAUCAAAGCAUAUGGUUUUAUACAGACGUUUGGAGAAGCCUGUAUUUACAAGAAAGUGAGUGGGAGCUCUGUAGCAUUUCUGAUAUUAUAUGUAGAUGACAUAUUGUUAAUUGGAAAUGAUAUAGAAUUUCUGGAUAGCAUAAAGGGAUACUUGAAUAAAAGUUUUUCAAUGAAGGACCUCGGUGAAUCUGCUUACAUAUUGGGCAUCAAGAUCUAUAGAGAUAGAUCAAGACGCUUAAUUGGACUUUCACAAAGCACAUACCUUGAGAAAGUUUUGAAAAAGUUCAAAAUGGAUCAGGCAAAGAAAGGGUUCUUGCCUGUAUUGCAAGGUGUGAAGUUGAGUCAGACUCAAUGCCCGACCACAGCAGAAGAUAGAGAGAAAAUGGAAGAUGUUCCCUAUGCUUCAGCCAUAGGCUCUAUCAUGUAUGCAAUGCUGUGUACCAGACCUGAUGUAUGCUUAGCAAUAAGUUUAGCAGGGAGGUACCAAAGUAAUCCAGGAGUGGAUCACUGGACAGCGGUCAAGAACAUCCUGAAAUACCUGAAAAGGACUAAGGAUAUGUUUCUCAUUUAUGGAGGUGACAAAGAGCUAGUCGUAAAUGGUUACGUCGAUGCAAGCUUUGACACUGAUCCGGACGAUUCUAAAUCGCAAACCGGAUACGUGUUUUUAUUAAAUGGUGGAGCUGUAAGUUGGUGCAGUUCUAAACAAAGCGUCGUGGCGGGAUCUACAUGUGAAGCGGAGUACAUAGCUGCUUCGGAAGCAGCAAAUGAAGGAGUUUGGAUGAAGGAGUUCAUUUCUGAUCUAGGUGUCAUACCUAGUGCAUCGGGACCAAUGAAGAUCUUCUGUGACAAUACUAGUGCAAUUGCCUUGGCAAAGGAAUCCAGAUUUCACAAGAGGACCAAGCACAUCAAGAGACGCUUCAAUUCCAUCCGAGACCAAGUCCAGGUGGGAGACAUAGAGAUUUGCAAGACCCAUUGACUAAGCCUCUUACACGAGCAAAACAUGAUCAGCACCAAGACUCCAUGGGUGUUAGAAUCAUUACUGUGUAAUCUAGAUUAUUGACUCUAGUGCAAAUGGGAGACUGAAGGAAAUAUGCCCUAGAGGCAAUAAUAAAGUUAUUAUUUAUUUCCUCAUAUCAUGAUAAAUGUUUAUUAUUCAUGCUAUAAUUGUAUUAACCGGAAACAUAAUACAUGUGUGAAUACAUAUACAAACUUAAUGUCACUAGUAUGCCUCUACUUGACUAUCUCAUUAAUCAAAGAUGGUUAUGUUUCCUAACCAUAGACAUGUGUUGUCAUUUGAUUGAAGAGAUCACAUCAUUAGGAGAAUGAUGUGAUUGAGUUGACCCAUUCCGCUAGCCUAGCACUUGAUCGUUUAGUAUGUUGCUAUUGCUUUCUUCAUGACUUAUACAAAGUUCCUACAACUAUGAGAUUAUGCAACUCCCGUUUACCGGAGGAACACUUUGUGUGCUACCAAACGUCACAACGUAACUGGGUGAUUAUAAAGGAACUCUACAGGUGUCUCCAGAGGUAGAUGUUGAGCUGGCGUAUUUUGAGAUUAGGUUUUGUCACUUCGAUUGUCGGAGAGGUAUCUCUGGGCCCUCUCGGUAAUGCACAUCACUAUAAGCCUUGCAAGCAAUGUGACCAAUGAGUUGGUUACAGAAUGAUGCAUGAUGUAACGAGUAAAGAGACUUGUCGGUAACGAGAUUGAACUAGGUAUUGGAUACCGGCGAUCGAAUCUCGGGCAAGUAACAUACCGAUGACAAAAAGGAACAACGUAUGUUGUUAUGCGGUUUGACCGAUAAAGAUCUUCGUAAAAUAUGUAGGAGCCAAUAUGAGCAUCCAGGUUCCGCUAUUGGUUAUUGACCGGAAACAGUUCUAGGUUAUGUCUACAUAGUUCUCGAACCCGUAUGGUCCGCACGCUUAACGUUACGAUGACAGUUUUAUUAUGAGUUUAUAAGUUUUGAUGUACCGAAGGUUGUUCGGAGUCCCGGAUGUGAUCACAGACAUAACGAGGAGUCUCGAAAUGGUCGAGACAUAAAGAUUGAUAUAUUGGAAGCCUAUAUUUGGAUAUCGGAAUCGUUCCGGGUGAAAUCGGGAUUUUAUCGGAGUACCGGGGGGUUACCGGAACCCCCCCGGGGGUUAAUGGGCCUACAUGGGCCAUAAGGGAGAAGAGGAGGGCCGGCCAGGGCAGGCCGCGCGCCCCCUCCCCCCCAUAGUCCGAAUAGGACAAGGAAGGGGGGGCGCCCCCCUUUCCUCUUUCCCCCUUCCCCUUCCUUCUCCAACAAGGCAAGAGGGGGAGUCCUACUCCCGGUGGGAGUAGGACUCCUCCAGGCGCACCCCUAGGGGGCUGGCCGCACCUCCCCUCCCUCCUUUAUAUACGGGGGCAGGGGGUACCUCUAGACACACAAGUUGAUCUUCGUGAUCGUUCCUUAGCCGUGUGCGGUGCCCCCUCCACCAUAUUCCACCUCGGUCAUAUCGUUGCGGUGCUUAGGCGAAGCCCUGUGUCGGUAGAACAUCAUCAUCGUCACCACGCUGUCGUGCUGACAGAACUCAUCCCCGACACCCUGCUGGAUCGGAGUCCGGGGAUCGUCAUCGAGCUGAACGUGUGCUGAACUUGGAGGUGUCGUACGUUCGGUGCUUGGAUUGGUCGGAUCGUGAAGACGUACGACUACAUCAACCGUGUUGUCAUAAUGCUUCCACUUUCGGUCUACGAGGGUAUGUGGACACACUCUCCCCUCUCGUUGCUAUGCAUCACCAUGAUCUUGCGUGUGCAUAGGAAUUUUUUUUUAAAUUACUACGUUCCCCAACAGACGGGGCCGGGGGCGGCGCGACGGGGGCGGCGAUGACGGCGACGGCGAUGGGGGUGACGCGACAACGGCGACGGGGGCGACGCGAGGGCGGCGACGACGGCGACAGGGGCGGCGCACGGACGGGGGCGGCGAUGACAUCGAUGGGGGCGGCUCGACGGCGACGGGGGCGGCGCGGGGACGGGCGCGACGAAGAUGAAGAUGAUAACUGAAAAUUUUCGUAAGUGCUGGUUUUAUAGGGGAGGCCUUUAGUACCGGUUGGAGACAGGAAUCGGUACUAAAGGUUAAAUUUGGCCAGGCGAAGCGGCGGGAAGCGAACUCCUUUAGUACCGGUUCGUGGCUCCACCCGGUACUAAAGACCCACCCUUUAGUACCGGUUUGGGCCACGAACCGGUAGUAAAGGGGGUGCGCUCCCGUUCCGCUAUGCUCAUUGUUUAGUCCCACCUCGCCGCGCGAAGGGCAGCCGCACUGGUUUAUAAACCCAGCCGCGGCUGCUCCUUCGAGCUCGUAUAUAAUGCAGGCCUCUGGGCCUAACUUUGCCGCGCUGCCCUGUGAGCCUGCUGGGCCUUAUGGGCCUGCAUAUGCACGCCCAAGGCCGAGCAGGCCCACUGGGCAGCGCAGAAAUAAUUUUUUCCAUAUAGUUUUUUCUUUUGUGGUUUAUAUAUUUUCUUCUAUUUAUUUGUGAGUAGUUUUUUUUCUGUAUUUAGAGUUUCUUUUAUUUAAUAUUAGUGUGUUUUAUCAUUAUAUUCAUAUUUGUAGUGAUUUUUCAGUUCAUUUUGUAGUGCUUUUCACUUUCACGGUGAUUUAGCUCUGAAAACAAAUCAGUAAAUGCAUCCAAAAUAGCAAAUUAUGUCGGAAAGAGUUGAAAGUAGAUGACGUGGAUUUGAAUUGUGCAUCUGAACGCAAAAAAGUCCGGAGUUGUACUAAGUUAUUAAAAUAUUGAAUAGCCGGUGUAACAGAUGAGUUUUCGUCCGAAACCCUGAUACUUCCUAAAAGAUUGUCCAGUUUGUACAAAAGGAUCCAGUUUUUGCCGUAAUCCUCUCUACUUUUUUGCGCAUGCUAUGCGGGUGAAAUGAUGAUACCUUGCCAAGUUUCAACCUUUUCAGAGUUCAUUUUGUACUGCUUUUCACUUUCACAAUGAUUUAGCUCUGAAAACAAAUCAGUAAAUGCAUCGAAAAUAGCAAAUUAUGUCAGAAAGGGUUGAAAGUUGAUAGCGUGGAUUUGUAUUGUGCAUCUGAACGCAAAAAAAGUCCGGAGUUGUACUAAGUUAUUAAAAUAUUGAAUAGCCGGUGUAACAGAUGAGUUUUCAUCUGAUACCCUGAUACUUCCUAGGAGAUUGUCCAGUUUGUACACGAAGUGCAUCCAGUUUUUGCCGUAACCCUCUCUACUUUUUUGCACAUGAUACGCGUGUGAAAUGAUGAUACCUUGUCAAGUUUCAACCUUUUCAGAGUUCAUUUUGUAUUGCUUUUCACUUUCGCGGUGAUUUAGCUCUGAAAACAAAUCAGUAAAUGCAUCGAAAAUAGCAAAUUAUGUUAGAAAGGGUUGAAAGUUGAUGACGUGGAUUUGAAUUGUGCAUCUGAACGCAAAAAAGUCUGGAAUUGUACUAAUUUAUCAAAAUAUUGAAUAGCCGGUGUAACAGAUGAGUUUUCUUCCGAAACUGUGAUACUUCCUAAAAGAUUGUCUAGUUUGUACACGAAAUGCAUCCAGUUUUUUCCGUAACCCUCUCUACUUUUUUGCACAUGCUAUGCGGGUGAAAUGAUGAUAACUUUCCAAGUUUCAACCUUUUCAGAGUUCAUUUUGUACUGCUUUUCACUUUCACGGUGAUUUAGCUGUGAAAACAAAUCAGUAAAUGCAUCGGAAAUAGCAAAUUAUGUCAGAAAGGGUUGAAAGUUGAUGACGUGGAUUUGAAUUGUGCAUCUGAACGCAAAAAAAAUUCCGGAGUUGUACUAAGUUAUUAAAAUAUUGAAUAACCGGUGUAACAGAUGAGUUUUCGUCCGAAACCCUGAUACUUCCUAAGAGAUUGUCCAGUUCGAACCGGCUCUUGUGUAAACAUGUAAAAAUAUACAUAAAAUACAUUGAUCAGUACCGCCUUUCAGCCAAAAUGCGCUACUGCUACAGAGAAAUACAUCAAAAAUACAUUGAUCAUCAAUGAUCUUUUUGUGUAUAAUCUAAAUUGUCAAUAUGAGUCCUCUCCGGUAGGAACCGGAGAAGACUCAUAUUGCGGCCACAAAUUCUACACAUAGAGUUCAAUGAAGACCAAGUGGUUGUGAUAGUUUGAGAGGUAACAUAUUUAAGGUGGUAAAAACUCUGUUAGCGGAGCGAGAUGGGACUAAAAAACCGUUGUCAACUAGGAACCUCUAGUACCGGUUUGUGGCAUGAACCGGUACUAAAGGUGCCGGUGGGCCCCAGCCUGACCCCAGCCUGCAACAGCCACUUUAGUACCGGUUCGUGGCUCGAACUGGUACUAAAGGGUCGCCACGAACCGGUACUAAUGAUCUCCGCCCCCUAGCCAUUUGGACCAGCACUAAUGAUCACAUUAGUGCCGGUUUUGUUACAAACCGGGAUUAAUGUGCUUCACAUUAGGCCCUUUUUCUACUAGUGAAUAAUGCAUGCUUAUAUUUUAUAUCAUCCGACACUACAUGUGUAACAUGGCAAGUUGCCAGUAUAAUUACUCCAAUUAUUUGGCAACUGUAUGAUCUGUAGAAGUGCAUGCUCGGCUCCCUCAGGCCUAAACAUGGACCAGAAAUGGGUAUUGAACUCAAAACCUCAUGGUUCUGAUAUCAUGCAGAAGUGCAUGCUUCAGCCAAUCCAACCAAAAGACCGAUCUAACGGAAAAGACUAGACAAUACAUUUACAACUCAACAUGAUCCAGUACAUGUUGGUAGCACCAAUCUAGUUAAAACUAGAAUACUUUGUUUUUUUUUCACUAAAACGGAAAAUUGAUUACUUGGGCACCCGAAUUCGAGUUGAAAAUGGCGCAAAUUACCUCGUCUAGCUUAGUAUAUUACUCCUACGGAUGAGGUGGUGUUCCAAACUUCUAAUAAAAUUUCAAAUUACCUGGUAAAGUGAGCCGCUCGGUCUUGUCGUCGGCGGGUCUGGUCUUGUACACGACGGUCCACAGGGCGCGGCGUUUCUUCACGGGCUCCUUGGUGGAGACGUAGAGUCGUAGACCAGAGAAUGGCCGAUGUCAUCGAAGCCGCCCGCGACGCAGGCAAUGUCCUCCAUGCGCUGGCCGGUACAUCGUGAAGAAGGCGAUGCUGCUGCAGCACUCCCCCAUUUUUCUUCUUCUCUUCUACAAUUGUCUUUGUCAGAUCAACAACUGGGAUGCCAGAUUUACAGGGAUAGUGAUUGUCUACUCUUGUUUAAUGGGAGGUGUUUAGGGAGAUGCUUACAAAAAUAAAUCGGAUUUUUCUGAAGCACUGGUGCCUAUUUCUUAGUUAAGCGUCUAUCUUGUACAAAUAAGCAGUGGUACUUAAGAAAAGCCUGGUUUAUUUCUCUAAGGCCUUGUACAAUGGGAGGUGCUUAGAGAGAUGCUUAGAAAAAUAAACCGGGUUUUUCUGAAGCACUGGUGCCUAUUUCUACAGGAGAGACGCUUAGUUAAGCAUCUAUCCUGUACAAAUAAGCAUCAGUGCUUAAGAAAAGUCUAGUUUAUUUCUCUAAGCACCUCCCCUAAGCAUCUCCCAUUGUACAAGGCCUAAGCACCUUCCUUAAGCACCUCCCAUUGUACAAGGCCUAAGUAGUAGUACUCUACUCCUUUAUACUCCCUUCGUUUCAGAAUAAGUGACCCAAGUUUAUAAUAGGAUUACCAAAAAUGUACAAUGUGUUUAGAUGUCUCAAGUUUAUUUGGUAAUACACGUUUAUGUUUUUCAUAUAUAUGAUUCACAUGUUUUCCAAAUAUAUGUUUAGAUGUCUACUUUUCUUUGUAUACAUCAUAAAUAUUUCCUAUACACCAGAUACUUUUUUAGUAGAUGUUACCAUUUUAUAUAUACACAUUUCAAAUUUUAAAAAUACAUGACUAAUAUUUUCUAAGCAUAUAUUUUUGGAUAUCUAUUUUCUCCAUCACAUUGUAUAUUUUUCUAUACUUAGAAUAUUUUAUAUACACAUUUAAUAUUUUCGUAAACUUAUAUUUUUAUGUUUAAUUUUUCAUGCACAUUGUCUAAAAAACUUGUAUACAUUAAAAAAAUUAUAUAUGCAUUAACAUUUUUCAAAUGACUGAUCAACAUUUUUUCCAAACUUUUAAGUAAAGUGUUUUUUGAAAUAUAUAUUAUGAAUAUUUGUAAGCAAAAACAAAAAAAACAAAAAAUAAAGCAAAAGAAACGUUAUCUUAGGCAAGAAAAAUAAAAAAAACAUGAAAAAAUACUCCCUCUAUCCAGAAAUACUUGUCCGAAAAAUGAAUGUAUCUAGACAUAUUUUAGUUCUAGAUAUAUCCAUUUUUAUUUAUUUCUCCGACAAGUAUUUUUAGACGGAGGGAGUAGAAAACAAAGGAUGCAGUGGCCUCCCGCGCUGUCCUGCCCCAUCUGUGAGCUCUCUUUAGGGCGAGAGCUGACUCUGUCUAGUAGGGGUGGGCAUAAAAACCGACAAACUGAACACUGGACCGAAGCUGAAACCGAAAAAACUGAAAGUUCGGUUUUUGGUGUUCCUACAGAAAAAUUCGGUUUUUCACUCUGCUAACCGAACUUGAUUCCUUCGGUUCGGUAGUAUCACGGUUAACCGAACAGGAAACCGAGCAUCCGCGAGGGCACGUGAACCUACAACGAAAGGAGCUGGUAUCGCACUAUUUUUUUAGAAUCUGCUCCCGCGCUAGGCAGGCUUGAGAGGUGGAGCGCUCGCGACAAAAAAUAUUCAUGGGCUAAACCGAGGACCUACAAGCAAGGCCCAAGCUGACUAGCUGUUGUGGGCUUCUUUUUCAAUUGUGAGGCAGUAGUAUACUUGCACGAGGCUAAUUGGUUCGCUGCCAAAUUUUGACAUUGCCAAUAUUUGGCAAGCCAACAAUUGGCAACUUUUUGAGAGGUGGGCAAGAAUCAAUUGGUAGCCAACCAAUUGAGAGCCAAAUUUUUAGACUUGCCAACAAUUGGCAUGUCAAUUAUUGGCACCAAACCAAUUAGGCUUGUAGUACUUACCAAAGCAGCGUCGGCGCUCCCGUGUUGUAGUUUAGUCCCACCUAUGCCAGGAGCAAACAAGAAUGUGGUUAGCUAGGCUAUAUAAGAGUGUUGAUGAAGAGGAUUAAGGCACGCGGCUCAAUAUUAUGUACGUUCGGCAAAUACGGUGUAAACCAAUUACCGAACUGAAAAACUCGGUUAACCGAAUUUUUGGUUAGCUAGUUUUGGAUGUAUUUUUCGGUUUUCAUCUUUGCUGACUGAUUUUAUAAAAAUACCGAAUGGUAGAAACCGAAUUUUCGGUUUAUACCAAAUGCCCAGGCCUACUGUCUAGCGUCAAGUGAGACAUAGUCGCUCCCAUAUGAAUCUGGUGCGAGUUAUAUAGCUCGCUUAUAGAGAUAGACCCUACCCACUGAUACGUCUCCAACUUAUCUAUAAUUUUUGAUUGUUCCAUGCUAUUAUAUUACCUGUUUUGGAUGUUUAUGGGCUUUAUUUUACACAUUUAUAUCAUUUUUGGGACUAACCUACUAACCGAGGCCCAGCCCGUAUUGCUUUUUUUUUGCCUAUUUUAGUAUUUCGAAGAAAAAGAAUAUCAAACGGAGUCCAAACGGAAUGAAACCUCCGGGAACGUGAUUUUUGGAACAAACGUGAUCCAAAGGACUUGGAAUGCAAGCCAAGAAGCAGCCGAGGCGGCCACGAGGGUGGAGGGCGCGCCCACACCUAUAGGGCGCCCCCCUGUCUCGUGGGCCCCUCGGGCUUCCACCGACGUACUUCUUCCUCCUAUAUAUACCCACGUACCCUAAAAACAUCCAGGGAGCCACCGAAAAACAAUUUCCACCGCCGUAACCUUCUGUAUCGGCGAGAUCCCAUCUUGGAGCCUUCGCCGGUGCUCCGUCGAAGGGGGAAUCCACCACAGAGGGCUUCUACAUCAACACCAUAGCGCCUCCAAUGAGUUGUGAGUAGUUUACCACAGACCUUCGGGUCCAUAGUUAUUAGGUAAAUGUCUUCUUCUCUCUUUUUGGAUCUCAAUACCAUGUUCUCCCCCUCUCUUGUGGAUAUCUAUUUGAUGUAACUCUUUUUGCGGUGUGUUUAUCGAGAUUCGAUGAAUUGUGGGUUUAUGAUCAAGUUUAUCUAUGAGAAAUAUUUGAAUCUUCUCUGAAUUCUUUUAUGUGUUAUUAAGUUAUCUUUGCAAGUCUCUUCGAAUUAUCAGUUUGGUUUGGCCUACUAGAUUGAUCUUUCUUGCAAUGGGAGAAGUGCUUAGCUUUGGGUUCAAUCUUACGUUGUCCUUUCCCAGUGACAGCAGGGGCAGCAAGGCACGUAUUGUAUUGUUGCCAUCGAGGAUAAAAAGAUGGGGUUUAUAUCAUAUUGCAUGAGUUUAUUCCUCUACAUCAUGUCAUCUUUCUUAAUGCGUUACUCUGUUCUUAUGAACUUAAUACCCUAGAUGCAUGCUGGAUAGCGGUCGAUGUAUGGAAUAAUAGUAGUAGAUGCAGGCAGGAGUCGUUCUACUUGUCGCGGACGUGAUGCCUAUAUACAUGAUCAUGCCUAGAUAAUCUCAUAAUUAUUCGUUUUUCUAUCAAUUGCUCGACAGUAAUUUGUUCACCCAGUAAUACUAUUUGUCAGAUUCAUUUUAUGUUCAUUUGCUUCAUCUCGUUUUUCAUUUUUCUGAUUCUUUCCUUUUUUUACGCUUUGCAAUAUUAUUAAGAAAUAAAAAAAUACAUAUAUUUCACAAAGGAUUACAACAGUUUUGACAAACAAUAAUGGUACAACUUUCAAAAAGUGUUGAUACCAUUUACCAAUUUUUUCAACAAGUAUUUGAAUUUUUUAACACAUUUUCACAUUUCUUAUUCAUAAACAUGUGUUCCAAACUUCUAUUAAAAUGUUAAUCGAGUAUUUGAAAUAUGUCAAAUGAAUAUCAAAUAAAUGUUUCAGAUGUAUAAAAAAUGUAUAAUGUGUAUGAGAAAAUUAGGCAUCAAAACAUAUAUUUGAUAAAUAUUGAACAUCUAUUAGGAAAAUGAUAAAUCAUGUAUUUACAAAAUAUUAAUCAUGUAUCUAGAAAAUGUUAAUCAUGUACUUGAAAAAUGUUUAAUGUGUACGAAAAAUAUGUUUCUUAUGUAUAUGAAAACUAAAAUCUGUAUGAAAGAAAUUGACAUCAAAACAUGUAUCUGAAAAAAUGUUAACCAUGUAUUUUAAAAGGUUAAAGCUAUAUAAAAAUCUCUUAUGUAUACGAGAAAAGUACAAUAUGUAGGAAAACAAGAGCACAUCAAAAUUUAUAUUUGGAAAAAUUAUUCAAGUAUAAAAAAGGGCAUACAGUAUAUGCAAAAGUUACAAUCUGUAUGAAAACAAUGUGACCUCAAAAUGUAUAUUAAUAAAAUUAAUCCGAUAACUAAAAAAUGAUAAACAUGUAUAAAAAAUUGCUCCUUCUCUCACUAGCCAACCAAUGGUUCAUGAAAAAAACAUAUCCCUAUUUUUAUAGAUUGGAAUCUCAUACUUUAAAAGAUGUUAAAAACCAUGAAAAUAUAAAAAGAUCAUGAAUUUGAAAUCAGUUCAUGAUUUGAAAAAAGUCAGUGAAUUUAAAAAAUGGAAAUUUGAAAACAUAUUCAUUAUUUUAUUAAAAAAAUAUGAACCAAUCAGAAAACCACUCAACUAAAGGAAAAUAGAAAAUAAAAGCAUACGAACAAAGCUUAUAGAAUGUUCCUAAAACUGAAAGAACCAGACCGUUGUUGUUCCCUGCUAUAUGGACCGGUCCGUUAGGAAACUAAUGAUAUCCCACGUGUUACCACAGAAUAAAUAUAUUUCAGUGCGAUUUUUGCUCUGAACUGGUUCGAAGUUAUAGAAUUUUGUCUUCCUAUAAAACUAAUACCCCUUAUAUUUUGGAACUGGUGGAAUAUUUAUUUUUGAUGGGUGGGGUAGAUAAUAGUGUGUUUUAUUUUUGUUUAUAAUGCAUUGAUUUGGUGGGCUCUCAUGGAAAUUUGUGUGUCAGUGGUCGUAUGUAUUACUAUAUUGGUGCUAUAAUAUCACAUGAUGGUGCUUCUUUUCCAAGUAGUGUGAGGGUGCGCUGGAUUGAUAUGUUUUUAUAGGCCGGUUGCUGCUGAUUGAUUGGAAAACACGUUGGUGUGGUCAAAAUCGUAAAAUAAAUCCAAAAUUAAAUACCUCACAUGAAUCAAAGAGCUUCAAAAUUAGUGAACAUAGUGAAUUAAAAUAAUUGAAUGGGCUUGAGAAAGUGUUAACCCGGUUGGAAUCGCUUGACUCAAUUAUAAGAUGAAUAUCUCAAUUCACUAUGAGGCCUUAAAAAAUUAAAAAGAAUAGUGUAUAGUAUAAAAGAAUUGAAUGUGAGAGCUUUGAGAAAUUGUUGACCCCGGUGACCAAUUUUAAUUGAAGACCUUAAUUGAAUGUGAGCUCUUAAAAACUAAGGAGCUUAGUGUUAUAGAGGAUUGCUUCAGCCAGCCUCUGUGAACUGGCCAAAACAGCACCGCAGUGAAGCAUAGGAACGUAAUACCAAGGCCCAGCACGCUGAUUCCUUUAUAGCGUGGCAGGCUUAAUUAUGUGAUCGAAUGAAAUCGGCUCCCUGGCCAAGCCCAAUAACUUCACAAAUAUUUCAGUAUGCAACACUUGACGAUCAGUAGGAAGCAAUUAGUUAACGAGCGAUCUUUCGGAAGCCUCACAACGAUCAGCGCCACUUGGCGCGUUCUCAGCCGUCCACCACAUGUCGUGCUCUGGGCGAUCCCUCCGGAUUUAUUUUUUUUAAUAAUUUUUCAGCAUGCGAUUUUGGCUUUUUAAACAUUUUUUUGGGUUUUUUCGAUGUUUCGGUUUCCUACAGGUCUUCCUUAUCUCAGCCUAUGAGUGCCUACACUACAUGAAAACAAGGAAGCUCAAGGGAAACAGGUGGUGUGCUUUGAAACUUGAUAUGAUGAAAGCCUAUGAUCUUCUAGAGUGGAAUUACUUGGAAAGGGUUAUGUUAAAAUUGGGGAUCAGCCCAAAGUUCAUAGAAAUUGUGAUGAGGUGUGUCUCUUCGGUAUCCUUUUCUGUUAUCUUCAAUGGAGGGAAACAAGAAGACUUCGCGCCAUCGCGCGGUUUGCAGCAGGGAGAUCCUAUAUCUCCAUAUCUUUUCCUACUGGCGGCUGAAGGCCUUUCAUGUUUGCUGAAAUCCACGCUUCCAACUGAGAGGAUACCAGGCAUCACGGUGGCAGCAGGUGCACCGGAGGUAAACCAUCUUAUUUUUGCAGAUAAUAGCCUUCUUUUCUUUAAUGCUACACCGGAGAUGGCAAAACGGGUGGAUGAUCUUCUACAAAGGUAUUGCUCUGCUUCGGGUCAACGUAUAAAUAAAGAUAAAUCAUUCGUUUUCUUUAGCAAGGGCUGUGCUGAAGCCAUGAGACAGGAUAUCAAGAAUGUGUUGGAUGUUCCAAACGAGCAGCUCUCUGAGAAAUAUCUUGGUCUCCCCUCUGAUGUAGGCCAGGCUAAAGAGGGUGCUUUCAAGUAUUUGAAAGAUAGAAUCUAGAAGCAAAUUCAAGGUUGGAUGGAGAAAACUUUGUCCGUUGGGGGCAAAGAGGUGCUUAUUAAAUUUGUUGCCCAAGCCAUCCCUACCUACUCGAUGGCCUGUUUCAAACUGCCUAGAGGAUUAUGCCAACACAUUAACGGGCUGCUAAGUAAGUUCUGGUGGGGCUCAAAAAAGGGAGAGAGAAAGACUGCCUGGGUCUCUUGGGAAGUCAUGACACAACCAAAGUUCAUGGGAGGAAUGGGGUUCAGAGAUAUCGAGCUUUUUAACCUUGCAUUACUGGCCAAGCAGGCCUGGCGCCUCCUACAGGAACCCACCUUGUUGAGUGCAAGGAUCCUCAAGGCUGUCUACUACCCUUCUUCCACCAUCCUUGAGGCAGAAGUGGGCAAUCAUCCUUCACAAGUUUGGCGAUCCAUAAUUGAAGGCAGAGACACUUUGAAGCUGGGACUUGUCAAACGGAUUGGUUCGGGAGAGGACACAAACAUAUGGACUGACAAUUGGAUUCCACGUGAUUUUAAGCUUCGGCCGGUUUGCCAAAAGUCCUUGAAUCCUCCUCACAAGGUUUCAGACCUCAUUGAUUCAGUUAACAUGACAUGGGACCGAGGUGUCCUUGAUCAGCACCUCUUCCCCAUGGAUGUCGAAGCAAUUCUUAACAUCCCGUUAAGCUCAAAAGUCCGUGCUGAUUUUUGGUCCUGGCAUUAUGAGAAAAGGGGUGUCUUCAUAGUACGGUCUGCAUAUAGACUCUUGGCCUCCACAAAGCAACAGCGGACGGACUGGUUAGAGCACAACGAGGGCCACUCGCGCCCCGAGUCAGACCGCCGAUCUUGGGCAAAGUUAUGGGGAGCUACGGUCCCUUCCAAAGUGAGAAUUUUUGCAUGGCGAUUGGCCAAAUCUUCCAUCCCUACAGGAGAAGUUCGCAAGCACCGGAGCAUGGCUGAAACACCGGAGUGCGCCUUAUGCAAAGUGGCGGUGGAUACCUGGCGUCAUUCGCUAUUCGAUUGCAAGAUGGCGAGAUGUGUUUGGGCACUAGCAGAUGAAGAUCUUACGGAAACCAUUGUCUCCAACCGGGCGGACGACGCAAAGUUAUGGAUGCUGUGGCUUGUUGAUACUCUUCCUUCGGCGGAGCUUGCGCGCGUCCUUGUGACGAUGUGGGCUAUUUGGUGGGCACGGCGUCGAGCUAUCCACGAUGAUCAGUACCAAAGUCCACUUAGUACGCACAUGUUCGUUGAGAAAUUUUUAUCAGAGCUGGAGGCGAUCCCAGGCGAGAAGGAACGAUCCAGGGAUCGGAAUGAAAAAUCCAAGGACCGGCAUGCUACGGCCAGGGACUUGCAUGUAAUGGCCAGGGACCUGCAUGUAACGGCUGGGGGGGAAUCAGUGCAGCGCGUCCGGUCAGCUCGGACGACAUGGCUCCCUCCGGCGAAGCAUGAAGUGAAGAUUAAUGUUGAUGGCGGUUUUUCCAAGGUUGGGGACCGAGGUGCUUCGGCGGUGAUCUGUAGGGACAAGCACGACAAGUUUCUGGGUGCUUCUGCGGUUAUUUCUGAAGGUUUGCUGGACCCAACUAUACUUGAAGCCCAGGCGUGCAACGAGGCCAUUGCUCUUGCUGAGGACCUCCAUGUUCACUCCGUGUGUGUUGCAUCGGACUGCCUUGAGGUGAUCACCAAUAUCCAUACUGGAGCCCCUUGUCGAUAUGUUGCCAUCUUGGAGGAGAUCAAGCACAGGAGGCGUUCGAUCCAAGAUACUCAGUUUGUACAUGAGAAUAGGAAACACAAUGAGGAAGCACAUGCCUUAGCUAAGGCGGCUGCUUCUCUCCCUCCCGGGCGCCAUGUGUGGCUUGCUACCCUGCCCGAUAUUAUUUGUAUCCCUAUGUUUCUGAACUUUCAAUAAAGGAUACUUUUAUGCUCAAAAAAAAAGUUAACGAGCGCUCUUUCGGAAGCCUCACAACGAUUAGCGCCACUUGGCGCGUUCUCAGCCGUCCACCACAUGUCGUGCUCUGGGCGAUCCCUCCGGAUUUAUUUUUUUUAUAAUUUUUCAGCAUGCGAUUUUGGCUUUUUAAACAUUUUUUUUGGGUUUUUUCGAUGUUUCGGUUUCCUACAGGUCUUCCUUAACUUUUGGACCAAAACAACAUUAAAAAAACUUGCGCAAAAGAUGCCUUUUUUUCACGAGAGUCAUGGUUUUGCUUUUGUAAGAGGCAUGGCCGUGCCUCUCGGAGACGGAAAAAAAUGCGUUUUUUGGUUUUUUUCCUUCCGCGGGAGGCACGGUUUUGCUUCCGCGAGAGGCACAGCCGUGCCUCUCGGAAACGGAGAAAAAGCGUUUUCUAUUUUUCCCUUCCGAGAGAGGCACAGUUUUGCUUCCACGAGAAGCACGGUUGUGCUUUCGCGAGAGGAACGGUCGUGCCUCUCGGAAACGGAAGACAACACAUUUUCUGGUGUUUUCGCGAGAGGCACGUUUUUGCUUCCGUAAGAGGCAUGGUUGUGCUUUCGCGAGAGUCACAGCUGUGCCUCCUCAGAAACGGAUAAAAACGCGUUUUCUCUCUCUUUUUUUCUUUCGCAAGACGCAUGGUUUUGCUUUCGCAAAAGGCACAGUUGUGAUUUCGUGCCAGGCACGGGCGUGCCUCUUCAAAAAGGGAAAAAACUCGUGCUCCCGGUUCGGUUUUUUAUAAAAAAAAUUUAACAAAACCUGUCAACAUGGGACCUAGUUUUGAAGAUCUCGAAGCGAGGAAUCCAACGGUGAAAAGGGUUUAUGAUUUGGACGCACGGUUUACAAGAUAAAACGUUUUGAAUAAAUGGAUGUAUGAAAAAGGAAAAAACUCACAGGUUGCGGCAAGUAGCGCACAUGCAGCGCGACUUGUCGCAACCUGAAAAGGUGGGAGUGAUCUUUGCACUGAGUGCUCCUCAAUUAAUGAUUUCACGCUUGAACCGUUCAAGUAAGCACCCCUGCAAGGGCCUUGCCCAGCAUAGUCACGGAUGCACGAUAGCUAGCAACUUGUGUGUUUUUCUUUCUCGCUUUAGAUUUUUCUCUCUUUGUUUUUAUUUUAAUUUGAAAAAAGUAAAUGAAUACGAUAAUAUUUUCACAAAUAUAAAAAUUAUGCUAAUUCCAAAUCUUUUCACAAUAUUUAAAAAAUCUUAACAAAUUUAAAAAUGUUCGUGAAUUUGAAAACUAAAUUACAAAAUUCAAAAAAGUUUGCGAAACUACAAUAAAAUGUUCAUGAGUUAAGAAUGAUAUUGAAUUUGAAUUUAUUUUGAGAGUUUGAUUAUUUUUUCAGAAAUCUUCAUUGAUUCAAAAUACUUCACAUAUUAAAGUGUUAGUGAAUUUGAAAAAAAUAUAUUGAAUUAGAAAAUGUCCAUGAAUUUAUAAAAUGUUAAGGAAUUGAAAAAAAUGUUCUUUAAGUCCCAUGAUCUCUCUUGAUCUGUAAAUCAAUACAGAAAUUAGUGGCCUCUGUCUGACAAAAAAAUUCAAACAUCCAAAAAUUGUUACUGAACUGGGAAAAAUAUUUGUGAAUUAGAAAAAAAAAUCACGAACUAAAAGAAUGUACGCGAAUUUGACUAAUCCUCGCCAAUUAAAUAGGAAAAAAUAAAAAAAAGGAAAAAAGGAAAAAGAAAGAGAGAAGUGAAAAAAAAAUCAGGAACCUUCCCAAAACAAGACGGAAUGUUUCAUAACUUUCCUAAAACGGGUUGAAAUCUUGUCGCAUCGAACCGCUGCCUUCCCCAAAUGGGCAGUGCUAGUGGACGACAUGCAUCUCUAUAGGUGAUGCAUAACAAAGGUGCGGCAAUCCUAUUACUGUUUCUGCAAACCAGUGUCUGCAGCCGCGUUAACUGGGCUAGGCCCAUCGUUCUUUUUUUCCUAAAUGCAUGGAAAUGAUAAGAACCGUGAACUCCUAGCCACGAGAACGCUAAGCUAACCAACACAGCCACCUCAGUUUUACGUUACCUACAGCUUUUUAUUACUUUUCUUCUAUCUUCUUUCUUUCUUUUCUUUUUUCUUGGAACGGUUUAGUUCGGUUUUUUCUUUUCUGUUCCUUUUUUCUUGGAACGGUAUUUUUCAUUUUUUUUCCCUACUUUUCUCUAAAUGUGUGAACUUUUUCUUCAAAUUAGUGAAUUUUUUGAAAUGCGUGAACUUUUUUUCCAUAAUCAAUGCGUGAACGGUAUUUUUCAUUGGUCCAGCCCAGGCGCAUGCUUGCCCACAACCUCACUUUUUUCAUGUUGCAUAUUUUGUCUUGUUUUGCUAUCUUUUUUAAUUUUUUAUACUUUCAAAUAUUUUAACUAUAUAUAUUAUGAAAAAAGACUGCAUAAAUAUUAGAAAAGUGUUAAUCAAGCAUUGAAAAAUGUUUAAUGUGUAUAGAGAAAUUAUUUAUCACAUAUAGGAAAAAAAAUACAUUGUGUAUGAAAAUUUAGACCAUGCAUUUAAAAAAAACGUUAAACAAGAAUUUGAAAAAAACAUAGAGAAAGUAUAUGAAAUGUUUUAAUCAAGCAUUUAAAAAAUGUUUAACGUGUAUAAAUUGUUGACCAUGUAUUAAAAAAUGUUAAUCAAGCAUUUGCGGAAAUGUUCAACAAGUAUGUCUAAAAUGUUAAUUAAGCAAUUUAUUUUUGAAUGUGUAUAGAAAAAAUGUUGAAUAUGUAUUGAAAAAUGUUAAUCCUGUAUUUCAAGAAAUGUUAACCAUACAUUUCGAAAACGUUGAACAAGUACGUGAAAAAUGUUAAAUAUGCAUAAAAUGAACAUGUAUUAGAAAAAUGUUAAUCUUGUAUUUGAAUAAAAUGUUAAUGAAGCAUUUUAAAAAUGUUACCAAGUAUGGAAAAAUGCUAACCAAGCAUUUAAAAAAUGUUAAAUGUGUAUAUUUUCUAUGUUACUAUGUCUAAAAAAAUGUUAAUCUUGUAUUUUUAAAUGUAGAGCAUGCAUUUAAAAAUGUUAAAAUGUGCAUAGAAACAAGGUUGACUAUGUGUGAGAAAAGUUAAUCUUGUAUGUGAAAAAUGUUACUCAAGCAUUGACAUUUUUUAAAAGUGUGUAUAGAAAAAACAUUGACCAUGUAUUAAAAUAAUAUUAUUCUUGUAUUUGAAAAAUGUUAAUCAAGCAUUUAAAAAAAUAUUGACUAUGUAUUCAGAAAAAGAUAAAUUUGGUUUGCAAAAAAAUUAAAUGUGUAUUAGAAAAAUGUUCUUCAUAUAUACAAUAAAUGUAGAAUGAAAACCAAAGGAAAAUAGAGAAAAUCGAAUAAAAGUGAAGCAAAAAAGAAAGAAAAUAAAAAAUAGUAAAAUCAGGGAAACCGGGAAAAAACCAGUUGAAACCGGGCUAGUUGCGCCUCUAUUAUUUUGCGGCCUACCUGGUCAAAUCGAUUCCAAUUAUCCAGGAGACCAGGGAUCGAUGUUUCUUUUAUUUAAGCGUUCGCGAGUGGUCUGGCCUGUUACUAUAGAUCCUUCACGUGAGAGAUCCUCCGGUCUGGCGUGAAGCGAGAUAUAGCCUUUGCGGGCGAGCUCCACACCAGGUUUGCAAGGGCCUGACCCAUCAUACUCAUGCAUGCACCACAUCCACAAACUUGCAUGUUGCGAACCAAUCUAUGAUUAGAUGGUUAGGUGGACAGUGAUAUGCCUAGCCUAACAGGGUUCAAAUCCCGAUGCUCGCAUUUAUUCUGAAUUUAUUUAAGGAAUUCCGGCGAUGCGGGCUCAGUGGAAGGAGAUGUUCCUGUCGACUAUGAGGCGCCUAUAUUGACUUCAUAAAAUCUCAAGAUGAUAUGUCAGCCCAGUCUUUCAGAGAUGCUCAUACGGGUAGGGUGUGCAUGUGUGCGUUCAUAGGUGUGAGUGUAUGCGCGUACAUAUAUGAGCAUUUGAGUCUGUACUGUGUUCAAAAAGAAACUUGCAUGUUUUUCUUUCUCACUUAAGAUUUUCCGCCCUUUGUUUUUAUUUUAAGUUGAAAAAGUUGAUGAAUAUGAAGAUAAUUGCACCAGUAUAAAAAUUGAAUGUUAAUUUUAUAACUUUUCAUAAGUUUUAAAAUAUGUUAAAAAAUUUAGAAAGUGUUUGUGAAUUUGAAAAACAAAUUCAGAAAUUUGAAAAGUUUGCAAAUCUGCAAGAAAAGUUCAUGAGUUCAAAAAAAAUGCUCUUGAAUUCAAAAAAAAUGUUGAGAGUUAGGAAAAUAUUUGGAUUUCGAAACUCUUCACUAAUUGAAAAUAUUUUAGAUAUUAAUUUGUGUUAGUGAACUUGAAAAACAUAUAUUGAAUUAGAAAAUAUCAAUGAAUAUAGCAAAUGUUCAGGAAUUGUAAAAAAUGUUCUUUAACUCGACAAAAUUCUUCCCACAUCCAAAAAUAGUUCCUGAACAUGGAAAAAUGUUUCGGCAUUUGAAAAAAAAUCAUGAACUAAAAGAACGUUCGCAAAUUUGACUAAUCACCACCAAUUUGAAAGGAAAAAGGAAAAAAGGAAAAAAAGGGGGGAAAAGAAAGUGAAAACUGGAAAUAUAUAGGGAACCUUGCCAAAACUAGGUGGAAUGUUUCAUAACCUUCCUGAAACGGGGCUAAAUCUUGUCGCAAUGAACCGCUGCCUUCCCCAAAUGGGCAGUGCUAGUGGACGAUCCGUUCGAUAGAUAUCUCUAUAGGCGGUACAUAACAAAGGUGCAGCAGGUCGAGCAUUGGACGGAAUGCAAUUGGCAAUCCUUGGUUAAUCGGCCUGGCCGGACAUGACCCGCUUAGAUGGAUGCUCUUCUGGCAACAUGUGGGCACGACUAUACCUCGUUUAUAGCGAGGCAACCUUCUGACUCGCUGAAGUUGCGCAAGCGUAUGGGUCGGCCCAGUGCGCGGUUGAGGGAACCCUCACCUGAGGGGGAGCCCCAGAUGGGCCGGCCCAGGCGCACGCUUGGCUACAUCAUAUUUUUUUUCAUCUUUCUUGGUUUAUUUUUACUUUAAUUUUUAAUGUGUUUAUAGUUUCACAUAUAAUAUUUAUAUAUGUUACAAAAAAAUCUGCAUAAAUAUUUGAAAAAUGCUAAUCAAGCAUUUGAAAAAUGUUAAAUAUGUAUAGAGAAAAUAUUUAUCAUGUAUAUAGAAAAAUGAAUACAGUAAAAUAAAAUGUAUAUGAUCUUUUCAAAAAGUUAAUUAAGCAUUUGACAAAAUGUACAGAAAGUAUGUCAAGAUUUUAAAUCAAGCAUCUGAAAAACAAUUAAAGUGUAUUUUUUUACCAUGUAUUCAAAAAAUGUUAAUAAAGCAUUUGAAUUUUUUAAAUAUGUAUAAAAAAACGUUGACUAUGUAUUAAAAAUAUUAAUAUUGUAUUUGAAAAAACUAAUAAGCAUGCAUUUGAAAAAGUUGAACAACUAUGUGAAAAAUGUUAAUCAAGCAUUUAAAAAAUGUUAAAUAUGCAUAGAAAAAAUGUUGGCUAUGUAUUAGAAAAUGUUAAUCUUCUAUUAGAAUAAAAUGUUAACGAAGCAUUUAAGAAAUGUUGACAAGUAUGUGAAAACUGUUAGUCGAGCAUUUAAAAAUGUUAAAUGUGUAUAGAGACAAUGUUGACUUGUGUUAAAAAUGUUAAUAUUUAUUUGAAAAAUGCAAAUCAAGUAUUCAAAAAAUGUUAAAUGUGGAUAGAAACAACGUUAACUAUGUGUUAACAAAAUUAAUCAUUGUUUUGAAAAUUGUUAAUGAAGCAUUUGAAAAUGUUUAAAAGUGUAUAUAGGAAAAAUGUUGACCAUGUAUUCAAAUAAUGUUAAUCAUGUUUAAAAAAAUAUUAACCAAGCAUUUGAAAAAUAUUUUCCAUGUAUUGUAAAAAUAUGAAAUUUGUAUUGGGAAAAUUUUAAACAUGUAUUAGGAAAAUGUUCUUGACAUAUACAAGAAAUGUAGAAUGAAAACAAAAAGAAACAAAGAAAACCUCCAAAAACGGAAAACAUGGAAAAAUGAAAAAUAAAUUUGAAGAAAUAAAUGCAAAAAGAAUGGAAAAACCGAGAAAAAUAUAAAUAAAAAAUAACAAAAAAAUUUAAAAACAAGAAAGAAAUAUAAAAAGUGAAGAAAAAAGAGGGAAAAUGAGUAAGAAAAGAAAAUUAAUUAAGAAAAUAAAAGAAAAAUAAAAAAUAAAAAACAUCGCAGAAGGUAUAAGGAAACCAAACACAAAAAUAAAAUAAUAAUAAUAAAUAAAUUGAAAAGUAGAAAAACCCAAAUAAAAAUGAAGCAAAAAAGAAAGAAAAGUAAAAAAUAGUAAAAAAGGGGAAACCAGUUGAAAGCUAGUGUCGCCUCUAUAUUUCACAACCUACUUCUUCAUAUGAAACCCGAAGCGAGCUCGGUGACUAGCACCGCUUCGGACUAUCCAGGAGACCACGGACCGAUGUUUCUUUUAUUUAAGCGUUCGGAAGUGGGCCGGCCUGUUACUGUAAAUGCUUCUUCAUGUGAGAGAUCCUGUGGCCGACCUCCACACCAGCUUUCCCUCAUUGCUAAAAGGAAAAAAAAACAGCUUUCUCUCAAAGAAAUUGAAAAAUCUGAUAACCAGCUGAAGUGGAUCUUGCAUGUCCACAGACAGGCAUGCAUACGCAUGCAGAGAGGCACAUGCCACGCUACAAUGAAUCAAGCUGAUCGAUGGUUUCAGCUAAAAGAAGUGGAUCGGAGGUGGCAAACCGCGACAUGCAUGGGCAUGUGCCGGCGCCGCGAAAGUUGGUUAUUCCCUUGCUUCCUUCAUCCUCGUAUAAAUUUCAUUUCACUUGCCAUGCAUGCAUGGAUGAUGGAUCGGAUCGCAUCCGAGGCACUCAACUCAACUCACGUACUCGGUACAGCACUGCCCACCGGCCGGAAGGCACAUGCACAAGUCGCCAUUGAUUUGAUGAUGGAUCACCCAUGCAUAUCUCCCAACGUGGCGUUGCUCCUCCGCACAGAGACAGCCGGCGUGAACGGAACUACCCCAUCAUCCAAUACAUAUACGGUCAUGACCCCGCUGAUUGGCAUGCGAUGAUGGACACGGCGGCAUGCAUACCCGAAUGGGCAAGUUGAUCCAUCGCUUGCAUGCUCGAUCUAGACCUAACUCUCCGAUCCGUGUGUGUCUGUCCCUAAUCAAUCACUAGAGUGCUGAGGCCGGCCGGCACAUGCAGCUCACCAUCUACACCACAUGUAUACUAGAAUAGAAUCUUACACGAUCGAUCAUCCUAACCGAUCAAGAUUCAAGUGGAAUGAAAGAGACGAGACGGAAAGCAAGCUGGCCGCAUGCAUGGCCCUCCUCCAUAAGUACCCUAGCUAGCUACACAUAGUGCUGGAUCCAUGACGACCAUCAUGCACAUUUGGUCCAGAUUGAAUUUUGUGUUUAGGAAUUGGCCGCCAUGCAUGUGUGCUAAUUCUCUAAUCAACAUCCUGCUUUGCUUAUUACGUUCAUUACCUAAGUGCAUAUAUUAGUUUUCAUGUCCGAUAUAGCCGUCCAAGUCCAACGCACCCAAAGUUUGAUCUCACAAGCACCGAGCCACCAUCAUCAUCCACUCAGUCUGUUUCUCAAUUAUAUAUGCUCCUACGACAUCGUAAACAAUAUGAAUAUACAUUAUCUUCCCCUAUAAUUGCUCCAUAUAUAUAUAUAAAUGUUGAUUCAUUCUGAUACUACACACGCAUGCAUGCCGGUGUGCAUCAUGCCGGCAAUAAUAUACACCACGCCACCUGUGCGCCAAGUCAGCAACAUGCCACUUGGUGAUCUCAAAUGGGCCAGCCAAUCACAUCACCCCUGCAUGUCUCUGCCAGCCUGACACUUCGCGAUCCCAUGAGCCACCCACGUGGCUUCGCUAAUUAGGGAUUCCUGGACCCGACCGGCCAUGGUUGACCCGGAGGAAAGCGACGAGCCAACUUACCACUUGGAGCAAGGCCGACGUGGCACCACGUGGCAAGCCAGUAUAUAUAAGCUUCUUCUCUUCCGUCUAUUGGCUUCGCUUCUCCCACAUGUACUCUAUCGAUGCAUUGUUUUUCUAUUAGAUACAUACAUCAGCGUUAUUGCACUAGUUAAUUGUUGCUUUGAAUCUUGACAGUUUGAUUCCGGUUGGUGGUUGUCAUGUACUCCUACUAUAUUACGGAGAUGGAUAACCCGGAAGCAACCGAUUACGCGAUUGUCGGGCCCCAAACGAUAUCCAUUAUUGCACAUUUUGUUAUUUCAUUGUAUCAGUCGAAAUCGAUGAUGUAACAAUGUAAUUUGUAAAAAAAACAUGUGAUUGAUGCAUGACCGGGGCCAAUAGUUGUCUUCAUGUCGAAGUACCAAGUUUUUUUUCUAGAAGGGAACAUGUGAUUCACGGUCAUCUCUAAUUUGUAAUCGUGUUGAAAAUUUCAACUUCAAGAUAACUUGUAGUUAUCAUGGUGUUUCAUGUUAUCGAUGAGUUAGGGACUUUUCUCACAUGAAAAUAUAUAUUAAUUGUGCACACAGAAAAAUACACUUCCUUCACACGCAUGUGUAAUUUUUUAUUAAUGAAGUCUGGUGGUAACCUCUUCAACAAUCAAUUUUCAAAAGCAGUUACACAAGACGAAAUAGGCCUCGACCUAUUCGGUCUAGGGUUGUCCCAAGCCAUCACCCGAGGCAUCAACAAGAUGACCAGUUUGCAUUGGAUGACAAAUGGUGGUGCAUGGGGAGAGUUCUAGGGAGCUACGUCACCGUUGGCCCAGGGCGGUCCUGAGAUUUUGGGGGCCCGGGGCGAAACUAAAACGCGGGGCCCUUAGUAUAGACAUCAUAAUAAUAACAAUGAAAUAUGUAUAAAUGAAAUAUCUCAAUAGCACUUUAAUGAUUUCAAAAUUAGUAUGUGAAUCAAAUAAUUAAUACAUAUUACCUUCAAAUUUUCUUCUAACAUUUCUCGAUGGAAAAUCACUUAUGAUGGCGUCAAUGUCAAUUUCAUCCAAUAAUUUCUUCUCGUUGCAUAAUGUAGCAAUGGAGAUAUUAGGAUAGCAACCAACUUCACUGGCAUGCUUGAAAAUCUGCAUACUCUGCAAAAAAGAUCUUACAAUAGAAGCAAAACAACUUUGUCGACAUCUUUUCAUUAAACUAGCCACUUUCUAUAAUGUUGCUCUCCAUUGCUUAAUCUCCUAUGACAAUGAGCAUUUGAAAAAUGUCUUCCCGCUUCAUCUACAGAGUGUUCUAUGCCCCCCCCCCCUCGUAGGCCCCUUCUCAACUAAGAUGUCUCCUGCUUUAUUAUCAAGAUUAUCUUAAUUUCUUGGAUCGUAAAUAUCCAGAUUAUGAAUAGGUUAUUGAUAAACACUAGUAGAUUGUGCAUGUGCAUCCAAUGAAUUACCUACAUCUCGAAGCCACUUACAUUGUUAUUGGUGUCAACAUUUUCUUCUCGCUGAUCAUAUUCUGAAAAAUCCCAAUAGUUUACUGCUCUUCCUCUAAGGCAACCAUCUCCAACUAAUCAUCUUGGUUUAUCAAAGCAGUUGAAGCACCAUUAUUACUCUUGAGAAAUUUGUGCAUAUUUCUGCAUUGUGAUUGUACCAAUUUAUCCACAGCCUUCUUACUGUUCCUUUUAUCGCUACUCGAUGCAUACGUCCUGUUGUUUCUGGAGACAUGAUAACACAAGGCUGAAAACAAAAACAAAUGCUGCAUCAAUUGUUGAACGGUACUGGCUUAUGCAUCAAGGAACGGCAAUAUAAUAUACCUGAUGAUCGAUUCGGUGAUGAGCGUUAGUGCGUGUGCCUGCACAAAAUUACAGAUGGGGAUCCCUGGAAUUGAAAUCAAUUGAGAACUAGAUUAGACGUGUCCCUAAGUGCCUAUACAGAAUUACAGAUGGGACACACCGGAAGGAUGCAUUCCUCAUUGUUCCUUUUGAUGGACAAGGCAAGGCGGCGGACGUGCCGGUGAAUAUCAUGCCAAUCUGGGCUCGAUCUAUGAUGUACCACCGCUCAUGUUGUCGGAAGAGAUCGGAUGGAUGUUGGGCGGCCUCUUGGGGAAAGUCUUGAGGGUAGAUACUGAUAAGUUUGGGAACAUUUUCUCUGAGUUUCUUCGUGUAAGAGUUGAACAUAAUGUAAACACUCCUCUCCUGCGUGAGAGCAGUACUAGAGAGUUAGGGCUGGAUAAGCACAUGGACCUAGAGGUCAAGUACGAGAGAGCUCCACGAUUUUGUAUGUACUGUGGGCAUAUAGGUCAUGGGGAAAGGGACUGCAGGCUACCGACCGAUGAUCAAGCAGUGAGAUUCACGGGCGCAAUGAGGGCGUCGCCCUACAAAUCAAGUAAGAACAAGGGAGGCUUCGUGGCUCCGGAUGCUUGCAGCGCCAGGCGAUUCUUGCAUUUUGGUUCAGAGUUGGACGGGGUGGCUUGGACAGCCCCGGCCAAGUUAGCCUGGGAGAAGCUAGGCAGAGACAAGAAGGUGAUGCAUGCCAAAUCACAGGAGAUGGUAAGGUGCAGGGAUAUUCCUGAUGUUGUGCUACUGGAUCCGGCUGUACAAGCAGCCAUCGCAGCAGUAAGCGCGCUCAGAGUGAGCGAGGUGCCGGACCAGAAAGACGCAAGGAUGACGAGUAUCGGCGAAAAUACUGUGACGGCCACGACAAAACCUGUACUGCCCACGGCUUCUACUCCAACCAUAGCCUUGGGUGGCGCGGGCACUUCACCAGCAACACCACCGGGUUCUGGGGCGGGGGCCGACAUCGACAAAACCCUGCUCGCACAUAACAUCGAGGAUGCAGUGACCCCUCCUUACCCGCCAGGGUUCGGACCGGAUGCUGUCAUGGCCACUCCUGACGCUGCUGCCUGUCCCUCCCAAGCAGCGAUGGAAGAGAUAACAGGGAAGGUGCAGGCCUUCGUGGGAGGUGCCAAGGUGGGCGGCUCGGCUGGGCAGGAGGGGGAGCCUGCCUCCCAAAUCAGUAGCCCAGCGAAGACUCAGGCAAUUGAGCUGGCUAAGACCAAAAGGUAUACGAGUCAGAUUAAGGGAAGAAAAGGUACAGGAGAGAAGGAAUCGGUGCUUGGGAAGAGAUACAUAGGAAACAAGGCUGCACCGGGGGUAGAUACAGCUAGUAGACCAGAUGUAAUCUCUGACAUGUAUAAGAAACGGAAAGGGGCUGAGAGGGAAGAGGAUGAGAGAAUUGUAGGAGUGCCAGGUGGUAAGGAAGCUACCGGUGUAGGGGCUACCGGGGAACUGGCGGGCGCGGCUGAGAGCGCCCGUCAGGAGGAAUGACGAUCCUUUGCUGGAACUGUCGGGGUUUGGGCCACCCUGGUACAGUUCGAGAACUUGUGUGCCUAGUGCGCACAUAUCGCCCCACUGUCGUGUUCAUCUCUGAGACGCGACAGUGCGAAGAGAGCGUGAAAAGAAUAACAGAAAGAAUAGGCCUCAAACAUUGUAUCACCCACGAUGGGGUGGGCAAAGGUGCCGGCAUCGCCCUAUUUUGGGACGAUAGCGUUGAAAUAAAUUUGCUCUCUUAUGGACCGCGUUACAUUGAUGUUCAUAUCCGGUAUGAUCGGAGCAGCCCCUUGUGGAGGGGUACUUUUGUAUACGGCGAACCAAAAGCACAUGAGAGGCAUCAUAUGUGGAGUUUACUCAAAAGAAUCAAGAAGAGAUCAAGUGAACCGUGGAUGAUGGUGGGUGAUUUUAAUGAAACAAUGUGGCAAGGGGAGCACUUCUUGGCCGUAAAAAGGUCUGAACGUAACAUGGGUAAUUUCAGAGAAUGCUUGGGGUGGUGUGGACUGUACGAUCUUGGGUAUAAAGGACCGGAGUGGACCUACGAUAAUAAGCAGAGGGGGAGGAAUAAUGUGAGAGCAAGGUUAGACAGAGGGGUAGCUUCAACUGACUGGAAUGAUUUGUUCCCACAAGCACAGAUCCAACAUGUGGUGACCUCGAGAUCACUCCAGGGAACUUCCCCCUGGUUUUAUCGUUGGGUGGUAAUCAGCAAGGGCGCAAAAAUAAGUAUUUCAAGUAUGAGAUGAUGUGGGAGAGAGUUCAGUCUCUGGAGACCACGGUUAGAGAAGCUUGGGGUGGGGAAGGUGUCGCAAAAAACCUGGAAGAUGUAUCGAAGAAACUUAAACAGGUCCAAAAGUCACUAAUGGUGUGGUCUAGGAAGGACUUUGGAGCUGUCAAUUCAAAUAUCAAACGGAAAAGACAACGGCUGAAGGUACUGACAGAAAACCAAAACCAUGGAAAUAAUGAAGAACAAAUUAAACAAACGGCUGCUGAACUAGAUGAACUGCUUGUUAGAGAGGAAGUAAUGUGGCGACAGCGCUCGCAGGCUACAUGGAUCAGGGAAGGGGAUCAGAACACUCGAUAUUUCCACAGGAAAGCCACAUGGCGGCAGAAGAAAAACACAAUAAAAAAGUUACAGAAUAACAAUAGUGUUUGGAUGGAAAAGAAGCAUGAAUUGAGCAGAUUGACCACAGAUUUCUUUAAGGAGCUGUAUACAAAAGAGAAAGGAGUGGCUCCGCAUGAGCUGAUUGAUAUUCUUCCUACUAAGGUAAAUGAGGUGAUGAAUAAUAGUCUGAUCAAGGAUUUCUCUGAAAAAGAGAUUAGCGAUGCCCUUUUCUAAAUUGGACCCCUGAAAGCACCAGGGCCGGACGGCUUCCCGGCCCGUUUUUUCCAACGGAAUUGGGAAAUCAUGAAGAAAGAUGUGAUCGAGGCGGUAAAGGUUUUUUUUGAGAAUGGCAUCAUUGCCGGAAGGAAUAAAUGAUACGUCCAUUGUCCUCAUACCUAAAGGAAAGAACCCAAAGACCUUAAAAGAUUUU